RNAcentral lists this long non-coding RNA (56474 nucleotides) under Phoenix dactylifera (date palm). Its description in RNAcentral is "long non-coding RNA (PDAC_LNC000639)". The record is from RNAcentral. Lineage: Eukaryota; Viridiplantae; Streptophyta; Magnoliopsida; Arecales; Arecaceae.
CGCACGGAGGGACGGAGUAGGGGAUCUGCCUCCGAGACCCCUGUUUGGCAGCCAGCCGGCGGAGGGCUGAGGAGCUGCGCAGAGGGGCGAAGGAGGGGCUCCGCUGGCCUCCUCUCUUUGUCCCUCUCUUUCCCUUCUCUCUCUCUCUUUGCCUCUCCCCCAUCCCUCUACUGUGUUAGUACAAGCCCGACACUGAACGAUAUGAGAGUGUACCGAUCCGUACCGUCGGAUAACCGGUCUAAGCCCCGGUUCUAGCACAACAAUCCUUCAUAUCAACAUUCACAAACUCAUCAAUUAGUCUCAUUCAAAUCUAUAGAGUACAAUCCGUAUGAUAGCAUUAAUGUUCUAUUGAAAAAUAAAGAAAAAUCAAAAUCAUCCAUCAUGAAAAGCUUAACAUUCAUCAAAAAAUAAUCCAUCUCCUUGUUCCCUAAAGAAUUUGAGAACUACCUAGAUAUUCAUUUUAAUUUUAAAAUGAAGUUACCUAAAUAAGCAUAAAGAUGCAUCUUAAUUGUAUUCAAUAAGUAUCGAUAUAGGAUGGCCCAGUGCACGAGGCUCCCACUAUUGUGGGGUUUGGGGAAGGUCAGCUGUAUACAACCUUAUCCCUGCAUGCAAAGAGGAUGUUUCAAUAUUUCGAAUCCGUGACCUUUAGGUUGCAAAUAGCAACCUUGCCGUUGUGCCAAGACUCUCCCUCAUCUGAUGAGUAUCGAUAUCCGAAAUACAUUAGCAAGCGAUUCCAGGUACCUAUUGGUCAUACUUUUGGUCAGCACAUCCUAAAAGAAUCUUAUAAUCUGCUUGAUAUGAAACUAUUGAACCACACCCAAGUGACCAAAUAAGGUUCUCAAACAAAUAUAAGCAAUGUUAGCCCUAUUUAUGAGAUCUCGCUGUUUACCGUCCAUAAUUAUAGGCUUUCACAUGUCUCUCAGACAAAUUCUUUUAAAAAUUCUAUUCCAUGCUUGAAGUUUCUAUCACAUAGUUUCUAAACACCUUAGGCAACUUAAUAGCUUUGGGUUGCUUCAAAGUUUGUGGCCUCAAGAGAAAAACUUAUUUCCUGCUUCUCCAUACUAAGGGCAUUGUGGGACUUCUUUUUAAAUAGUGCUUUUAUUUAUUUAAAAGACUUUGACAUUUUUCAAUCACAUCACUUUCUAUAUAAGAUUCUUUUGACAUGUUCUCCUUCAUGAAUCAUUUCUUCUCCUUCUUAACAUUGUUAUUGAACUUUUAUAAUUAAAAUAAUGAGUAAUGUUCUGCAUUGAUAUUUAUUUGAUAUACAUCAUUGAAUUUAAUACAGCUUCCGUAUUUGAUUCAUCAUUAACCUCUUUAGGUAAGGCAAAAUGGAACUAUUAAGGCUAUCGCUUCUUAGCUCUUUAUGUUAUCAUAUAAAUAUCUUUUUGUGCAGUUUAUUAUUUUUUUACUGUAUAGAGAUGAAAUCUGAUGUUCAAACUUGAAUAAAAAUUUAUGCAUAACACUGAAAUAUUAAUUGGUUUCGUAGUAUAAAUUGUGAAAAACAACAUGUUUGCUGGAAGCAGCUAAUGAUUUAUAAUUUCUUUUAGUACAAUCUUCUUAAUUUCUUUUCAUACAAUCUUUUUGAGAUUUAUGAAAGCAUACUUUUCUUAGAACAUUGUUUUUCAUAGUCUUAAGUCUGUGGUCAGGAGGAGUUUGCCAAUAAACUUUGCUUCUGUAUAUUUCUGAAUGAAAUUUAUUACGCCUUGGCAGACCUGGUUUUUAAGAAGAGUAACUGGUAAAUUUCCAAAUUAUAUUUGUCUUGGAGGGAAAAAACCAUGUUUCCACCCCUAUGUGCUGGGCAUUUUAUAGGCGUUGAUUUAAAUUUAGGAGACAAACUUCCCUUUUAGCUUCACAUAGAAAUUUUGGUGCUGGUUUUAGUUUUUAAUGAUUGUAUCUCUCCCUUGUCAGACAACUAUCACAAAUCAGCAGAAUGGAACGAACUGAGACACCUUGCAUAGUUCAAGCUCUACCAGCCUCCAAUAAGAAGGACAAGGAAUCACUUACAAAGCCAGUCACUGUUGAAGAUAAAGAAUCACCAUUAAAGCUAGAAAGCACCACUAACAGUCCUCAGACACCAUCAAGUUCUCGCUUUACUCGCUCCCAGGCUGCUCCGGACUGGACCACACAUGAAAUGCUGGUUCUUGUUAGCGAGAUUGCUGCUGUGGAUGAGGACUGGGUUAAAGCUCUCUCUUCAUAUCAAAAAUGGAAGAUGAUAUCUGACAACUGCGUGGCUUUUGAUGUCAUCAGGUCUUCUAACCAGUGCAAGAGGAAAUGGGAGUCGCUGCUUGCUGAUUAUUGGAGGAUCAGGGACUGGGAGUCCAGAUGCGGAGUGGGUUCCUAUUGGUGCUUAGAGGGUGAGAAGAGAAAACAAUUUGGGCUUCCAGCUUUGUUUGACGAAGAGGUAUUUGAUUCAAUGGAUGCUGUUAUUAAAGCACAGGAGACUCAAUCAAGCUCAAGGGAUAGUGAUUCAGAAGGCCUUGUUGGUACAGCUGAUGUUCAAAUGGCUGAUGGUGAUGACGAUUUAGGUAUGUUAAUUACCUUUUUCUCAGUUAUGCCUUACACCAUACGAACAGAUGCCAUUUACUUAUUCAUGGUGAUCAUGUAUAAGGUUUAUCUUUAAGUGGUCCUGAAGAUACACCACCGCAUUACUUUCCAAACUUAUCACUGAGGAAAUAUGGAAGAUGGAGGUGAUACAUGUAGUUCUUGAUAUAAUCAUGAGUUCAGAGGACUUAAUUGGUAUUGAGGCUCAUAAUUUCUGAAAUCCCAUUUCAUAGACUCUUCAGCAUUUUUCCAGAAAAUAUUUCCUAAAAUUAUAUAACUCAGACAGCAUUCUAGCUGAAGAGAUGCUAGUUGUGCAAGCCUAAUGUGAAAGCAUAAUGAUUUUAAAAGGCAUUUUUGAAGCUAUUCUUCAAAAUUUUUGACAAGAUUCUGACCUUUCUUCAUGUUAAUGCACGGACUUAUUAUUAAAUAAAAGCAUGAAUUAAAAUUUGUAACUCAUUGCCGUGUCAUGCUUCUAUUUGUUAGUUAUCUGUUUUAGGCAAUUGUACACUUCAAGUUAUUUCCAUGUAAUCUUCUGUACCCCCAUAAACAUUUCACAUAUUCAAUACCAAAUUUCUUUUUCUGUAGUUGAUAUCUGCUUUUGUUUCUCUUCUAUGGUUGUACAUCUAGGCUUUAUCUGGAGGACUUUAACCUGCAAAAUCCUGAUUCUUUCCUUUUUAUUUUUUGAACAAUUUAUAAAUUAAUAAUCAUAGACUCGAGGAGUAGGAAUUCUUUUGUAUAAAAUGAAGUAUAAUAAAUAAUAAGAAAAAAUGUUGAGAACAGGAUAACUUAAAAAACUCUGCUCAAUAUAGAAAAUGUUGAAUAUAUUGUUUAAGAUAUUUUCAUAAUUUGUAAACCAAUCUCAGAAACAUUUCUUGAAGAUCAUAACUUCCUUCUUAGCAAAAAAAAAAAAAAAUCAUAACUUCCUUUUCAGGAUUAUAAAAGCAUAAUGUUGUGGUAAGCCCAAAUGAAGAUAUCUUGGAUGACAUGGUAAACAGGUCUUCUAGCUGUUUGAGGGAAAUUAUAUUUCUUCUUUCGAGAAAACUACAAAGAACCUCCCAUGAUUUAUUUAAAUAUUUUUUUUCUUUUCACUUGAAGUAAUAGUUCUGUUUCCAGCUUGCCCACCACUACCAAAGAUGGAAAAUGACGUACGGACAUAAAUUUUUAAGAAAGUUUUAUGUUACUUCAACCCUAAAUUUCUUUUUUAAACUAUUGUAAAAUUAUACAUUUGAAGAUUGCAUUACAUAAUUAGCACAACCAUAAUUAAUACAACCAAGUACCUAUGUGAAGAUGCUUGAGUUAUGUAAAAGCAAAUUCCCACAGCAGUGGAUGUUUUUUCCUCAAGUUUUAUAUAUUUGAAUCCCGGCCUGAUCAGUUUUGGUUGUUAUUCUCAAUGUACAUGUCCAUGUCUGUUUUUCAAAAUUUAGGUUCUGGGGAGAAAGAACCUAACGAGACUUUGACAAACACAGAUAAAGGACGAGAUAUGGCCAUGAAGCUGCAGGAGGAUGCUCAACAUAUACAUGCCAUACUGAAAGGAGAGCUAGAGGAUAGUUCUAGUCAGGUUCGUGCUCCUGUGGAUUUGACAAAACCUAAUGCUAUAGAGACCGAGUUCACCAGGCGACAAGCCAAUGAGCUCAUCAAGGCUUUUGGGAGCCUUGUAAGCACUCUUAAUCAGUUUACUGAGCUGAUCAAGGAUGGUGAAUGUGAAGGAAUUAAACCCGUAACUUCAACGGCACAGUGAUCCAGUUCUUUUCAUGAAGUUUUGGCUGUUUGAGCUCCUAUCUUCAUGAAGGCCGUCUAACAAAAUGCAUAGGUGCAAUGGAUCGAUCACUAUCGCACUGGCUUCAGAUCUCUGUCUGGAGCACUAAAGUGGGGAUGGUGAAACUUAUCAUAAGAGAAACUAAGGUAGACAUACUAUGCUUUUUCCACUAGAAAGAAGAUCUGACUCUUGAGAACCUUCAUAUUUCCUGCUACCUUCAUCUGGUUGCUAUAGCGCUAUCAUCAAUGUCAAAAAAUGCAAAGUAUUUGUGUGAGGGCGGUAACUGAAAGCAAUAGCAGGAGCUGUCUGCAAUGAGGAGGCUAGUUAUCAGGAGGCCUGGCAAUGGCCUAGGUGAGGGAGCUGCUGUAACCUCUUGUCAUCUUGGUUACUUUCUUUAUUAAGACCUACCCUCGACUGCCAUAGGGCACUGUUAAAGUAAUUAGAAUCCUCUCUUGUGCUGCUUUACCUUCUAUUAAUAGAUUUUUUAAAUCUUAAUGCAAGCUUUGCCGCACUGAAAAGAACUUUCAUGAACAGAUGAACUUGUAAAGCUUUCAGACUUUUUCUUGUCUUCUCUAGAAAGCAAGGGCGAGAAGCCAUUGAUUUCUUCACGGGUGUGAUUCUUCAUAGUUAAUAUCAGAAAACUUUUUGGUUUCAUGAUGAGGUAAAAGUGGAUCUUUAUCAUUUAUACAAGCAAAUAUCAGAAAAAUAUUGAAUUAAUGCAAUCACAUUUGCUGGGAGUAUGAAAUUAUGAAACUGUACAUGAAUUUCAGCUCGUGUGGGGACAGGUCUAUGAAAUUUCUUAUAGUCUUUCCCAGCUGUCACCAAGCAGCUGAACUGUUAUUUUAGUGAUAGCUGUUGUGUGAAUUCAGUGGUUAGCCUGUCUACAUCAAAGUUGGUGAAUUCCCCGCUCUUUGUCAAGCUGGUGUAAGCUAUGAUCUUUCUUUUCUUUUUUUCCUUUUUUUUGAGGAAGGUGUAAGCUAUGAUCUGGCUUAUUGAAAUGGUUUUAGUCGUGCCUAAACUGUCUUGCCUGCCGAGAGACGUAGGCAAGAAGAGCUUCACCAGUUGUGCAACCGAAUGCAUCCUUUUUAAUUGGGUCCAAGAUUAUAGAGAAGAGCCUCAUUUUUGUGCCCUGCUUCAGAGUGCGAAAUUUUAAUCCAUCUUGAUAGUGUCUUUUUUAGAUACGGGGAAAAAAAAAAGGGUCUUUGUGAAGUGGUGAAGAAUUGCAUGUUGAAAUAACAGAAGAAAGAUUUACAUUCAUGAGUGUUUCAGCCCGUAAUUAUUGUCAGGUUUAACACAGAUUUUUAAACCAUGCGUUGGUGAAUCCUGGUGAUUUUAACUGUUAGAGCAAUAUUCUGAGAUUGGAUUGGAUAUACCCAAGAGAAAUUUUAUGCCUCUCCUUUUGGCUGCCACUCUAAUCAUCAGACAGCUUUUAGUUAAAUAAUUAAUAUUAAAAUCAUGUCUAAAUAUACAUAAAAUAAUAAUAUGACAACAAUAAUACCAACAAAACAUCCCUGUCCUCAAUAAGGCAUGGAUCUAAACAAAAUCUCCACUCAUCGUCGCCACGCUCAGUGAAAUGACGACAGCAAGAAAUCAAGCACGCAGCACAGAGUGUCACCCAUAUGUUUAGACUAAAAUUAAAACUAGAAAUUGGUGGCUUUGGGUGGGGCAAAGUUUGGGUGCAUAAACUGAAGCUAAGAAAUUGGAGGGCCGGCCUUGGAUCUCUCUCGGGACAGCUAAAAAUCCCAUGGACGCAGGAGACCCCGUCAAAUCUCUCAACCCCAUUCUCUCUUAUUCGGUCGCCUUUCUCACCAACCUAUUCUUGGGCCCCCACGCCGACUCCACCAUCCCUCCCCAAAGCCAUGUAUUCAAAACUAAUCUGCCUUCUCCUCAUCCCCACCACCCAUAACACCAAUAGCCUCGCCACCCCUGACCCCUCCUCGACGCGCUAGCCCCACCGCCACCGCGCCAUGGCCGGACGGGCCUCGCCAUGGCCUCUACGGCUCCUCAUGGUCCUCCUCACCCUGGCGGCAUCCCUCCGCCUCUCCCAUUCCAAGGACGUCGACGUCCUCCUCAAGUUCAAGGAGAGGCUGGCCCCCAAUGGCGGCGACGCCGUGCUGCGUAACUGGGUCGCCGGCUCGACACCAUGCGAGGGGAAUGUCUCGCUGUGGACCGGCGUCAUCUGCGACUCCGGGGAUGUCUAUGGGCUGCAGCUCGAGCACAUGAAGCUGGCGGGCAAGCUGUCGAUCGACGUCCUCGUGGACCUGCCGGUCCUCCGCACCCUGAGCUUCAUGGGCAACGAAUUCGAGGGGCCGAUGCCGGACAUCGCGAAGCUGCCUGCGCUGAAGGCGAUAUACCUGUCCAACAAUAGGCUCUCCGGUGGGAUAGCCGACGGCCUGUUUAAGAAGUUCCGGUCGAUGAAGAAGGUGCACCUGUCGCACAACCAGUUCACCGGAAGGAUCCCGACGUCGCUCGUCGGGCUGACGAGGCUGCUGGAGCUGAGGCUGGACGAUAAUAACUUCGAGGGGCCGAUACCGGAUCUGCGGCAGCCGGGGCUGUACCUGAUGAACAUCUCCCAUAACAAUCUGGAGGGACCAAUUCCAGCUGGGCUCAGCAAGAUGCAAGCUAGCAUGUUUGAAGGUCAGUAUUCUUUCAAUUCUUGUCGUUCUUAAUUUCUUCAGUAUAUGUGUGUGUGUCUCUCUCUCUGUGUAUAUAUAUAGAUGUGCAUGCAUGCAUGCAUGCAUGGGGAGAUUUAACAUAGAAUUUAUCUCAAAGGAGGAAAUGGUGAUGCAAAUUAGCAAUAAACACUUUCACGGAGAUUUUGAUUAGAAUGAAGCAAGCAAUAUUGAAGGGAGGGCCCAGCAUUGUUCCAAAGUUAUUGCCUUAUUGGAAAUUAGAUGGCUAUGGCUCCAAACAAGACUGCCUAAGACAAUGAGACAUGAGAGGUGGAGAAGGCUUGCGUAUUAGCACUUUGCAGCACAAAAUUGAAAGGAAGUUAGAGAGCUAUUGGCUUGGUAAAUUUAUUGUGCAUUGGAGUUUAUUAGAUUUGACUUGCCUUGUCCAAUAAGCUGUUUGCAGGAUAAGGCGAGUUACAGCCUACUGAUUAAGAAACCGGAACUCAACGUGAAAAUAUUAAAAGGAAAAACAUACUUUCAGCCAGCAUAUAUAAAUUAGUAGUCUAAUUUACAACAAUAUCGGGGGCAUUUACUACCGAAUACCGGAAUAUGUUUGAUGAAGAAAUUAUUUGAUGCCAAAACUACAGGUUUUGAUCAAAUAGUUUCCAAUUGCUUGUGGAUUAUAAUGAAAUUAAGGUAGAGAAGAAAGGUUCUUAAUUUUGAUCAAGAUUGUUCUGCAAGGAAUCAACUCAAAAACUUACACGUUCCUUGAAAGUCUAACCGCUGCUCGGCAGUAACCAGAAACAAAUGCUUGAAGAGCGAUGAAGAAGAUUGCAUGCUAGUCAAACUGUUUUUUGUUAAUCCAUAAAGCUCCCCAAGAAAAAGAUUAAUUAAAAAACAUUACAGAUAUAUUGCUAGUUUUUAACUGCAGAUCCAACUUAUUUACUCACCAAAAGAAACAAAAGAAUGAUAUGUUCAUGGAACAAUAACUAAUAGAGAGUACUUAUCAUGAACUGCGUAAGAUUUUACAUAUAAAUGAAGAGCUUAAAUAACAAUUGGAAAUGAAGUAGAUAUUUAGAAAUAGUAACUAGAGGUUACAGAGGAAAAGAGGAGAACACAAGGCGGAAGCAGUAAAGGCAACGCUAGCACACAUGUGGGAGCUAGGCAUUAGUAUUCCUAAGUGAGGACUCGCUUCAACACAGUUGGUGGAAAAGAAAAAAAAUUUAUACGAUCGCAUCAGAGUGUUGGCUUAGAAUUUGAAUGAACGAUGCAUGAAACACAUCGCUGACUGAAGAAGUUAAAAUGCCAACAAACUGAAAAGCUUCCAAAAGUUCCCUUCUUUUUGGUUUUUAGAUGGCAUCUGACUCGGUAUUAUCUGUGUAGGCAACAAAAAUCUUUGCGGUCCACCACUUGAUAUCUCAUGCGGAUCAUCACAAGCAGAACCAUCAUCAUCAUCGGAGAAGCUCUCCCCUGCUCUUCUAGUUAUCAUCAUAAUGAUAGCCAUCGGGGUACUACUCGCAAUCAUUGGCGUGAUCUUUUUCAUGCUCCGCCGUCCUCGCAAACAGAUGGAACCAGGUCUUAUUCCACACAGCAUAACCAGGAAGAUCGGUCCUUCAGAUGCAGAGAAGCUGGAACAGGGCUCGGUGGAGUCCAGCGGAGGAGCGAAGAAGGUCGCAAAGGAAGAGCAUGGGAAGCUGAUGUUUGUUAAGGAGGGGGCUCAGAGGUUUGAGCUACAGGAUCUGCUCAAGGCUUCAGCUGAGGUGCUGGGCAGUGGGAACUUUGGGUCCUCGUACAAGGCCGUCCUUUUCGAUGGUCCGGCGGUGGUCGUCAAGAGGUUCAACAAGAUGAAUGGGGUAGGGAGGGAAGACUUCCAGGAGCACAUGAGAAGGCUGGGGAGAUUGUCUCACCCCAAUCUGCUGCCUCUGGUGGCCUACUACUAUAGGAAGGAGGAGAAGCUGCUGGUCACUGACUACAUCCCUAAUGGGAGCUUGGCUCACAUGCUCCACGGUAAGCCUCUCAUUCCAGUGUCAGUUUUAGUUUCUAAACUUUUUAAUGGCUCACAAUAACGUUUACAUAUAUACAUGCAUGCAUGCAUACAUACGUACGUACAUGCAUAUGUUACGUACAUAUAAGAGCUCCUUAUUCAUGCUGAGUUCUUUGUUCUUUUUUCUUCCUUUUGUUUUCUUCUUUUGAGAGAAGCACGCACGGUACUUUUUCACGAUACGUACUGAUCUAGAUCAUGUUACCUAUCAGAAGUAUCUGACAUAUAGCAAUGUACGUAUUCUUUAGCGUGUACAUUUGUAUGUUUAGUAUCACAGAUGCAUAUUUGAGUACAGAAAUACGCAAACUUUUAUGAUAAAUGGCCCAAAAGAUGCUAGCUCAUGCUACAGAUCUAAAUUUUAAAUCGCAGAAGAAAUUGACGCUUGCUGAAUUCCAUCGAUCCAAAACCAUGCACUCUCUGAAAUUUUCCGACACAAAGUAUAAUGCUUGCUUGCAUGCGUUCUCGAGCUGAACUUUUCAUGAUUUAUGGAGCAAAAGAUGCUAGAUUGAAUACAAAUAAAAAUUUUUAAGGAUGUAGAUUGAACUAAUGCCACAACCAAGCUAUUAAUUACCCUCCUAACGUGGUAUGUCCCUUCGCAGGUAGAGGCGGCUCGAACCUUCCACCGCUCGAUUGGCCUACACGCCUAAGAAUCGUCAAGGGUGUAGCAAGAGGCCUCGCUUUCCUCUACGAGGAGCUCCCCAUGCUGACUCUACCUCAUGGCCAUCUCAAGUCCUCAAAUGUGCUUCUCAACGACUCCUACGAGCCCCUCCUGACGGACUACGCCCUCGUCCCGGUGAUGAACCAGACGCAUGCCUCGCAGAUCAUGGUGGCCUACAAGUCCCCGGAGUGUGCAGAAGGCGGCAGACCAUCGAGAAAGAGCGAUGUAUGGAGCUUUGGUAUAUUAAUUCUAGAGAUCCUGACGGGGAAGUUUCCAGCCAAUUAUCUCCGGCAGGGGCGAGCGGGCACGGACUUGGCGAGCUGGGUGAACUCCGUCGUGAGAGAAGAGUGGACCGGCGAAGUCUUCGACAAUGAGAUGAGUGGGGCCGAGAAUGGCGAGGGAGAGAUGUUCAAGUUGUUGCAGAUUGGAUUGGGUUGCUGCGAGAUGGAUGCUAAGAAGAGGUGGGAUCUGAGCAUGGUGCUCGAGAAGAUCGAGGAGUUGAGAGAAAAGGAGAAUCGUGAGGAGGGCUCUUCAUUUGCUAGCGAGGGCCAAGCGAAUACCUCGAAAGCUAUGACCGAGGAUGAGCUCUUUUUCUCUACAAAUAACUGAUGAGUAUCUCAGUGACGAAAGCUUUGAGACGAUGUGUGUUCGAGCAUUUACAUUUCAAUUUGAAACACUUUUAAGGUGGAUUAGUGAUGGCAUAGCUUGCUUUCUUCUCUAUAAAUGUUUGAAGUGCGGUAAAGUAGUAGAUUCGUAAUAGUUUGAUGUGUUGUAGGAUUUGAGCUUGAGUUACCCAUUUUCUCCGCGUUUCUCUUUAUGCUUCAAGUUUUCCUCAAUGAAUUCAUAAAAUUGCAGAGCCAAACUUAAAUCAAACUCCACAGAACUGCUUGUGAGCAUAAGUGAAUCUGCUUUCGUGAAUUAUUUAUCUAAAAGUCAUUCUCAUUUCACUAGGGAUUGCUUUAUCUUUUAGUUACCACACCACCAAAGAAAGCCAAUUCUGAUUGGAUUAUAACUCUUGGCUACUAAGAAGUGAUAAUAACGGUUGUUAGUAAAAUAUUGAUUAGAUUUAACAAGGCGGUAGAGUCUGCGCAUUCAAAACUUUAUAUCCUUAAUUUUUUUUUGUGUGUCGAUGCGUGUUAGCCAAAUAUAUAUCAGGAUCAUGCCAACAUACUUUAAUAGAGAGGAUCAAAAUUGCUUAAGUCGAUGACCAUUAGCUUCAAAAGAUCAAAAAUAAUGUUGAGUCAGAUUUUUAAUCAAAAUUUAUAUAUUAGAAUGAAUAUUAAGAUUUAUAAAUUAUUAUUAUUUUGAUAUAAUCUGCAUUAUAAGAUCCGUCCUAUACGGUUACAUUUUGAAUUUAGAGCGUCACAGAUUUGGUAAUGGUGUGUCAAUGCUUUUGAAUUUGGGACGGAUCGGAAGUACCCUUCUCUCACGCAUAAAGUGGAAAUAACCGCCCCGGCCAGAACCAAAUUAAGCCGCCCCUCCCUGCCACUUGAAACAAUAUCAUCACUUCCUUCACCUCGACACCUCCCGGAGGGCGGUUUCCAAGAAUUCAGAAAUCCUGGCUCCGAAUCGAGAACCGCCGAAGGCCUCGGAGCUUCGCCGGAGGCUCCGCCAUCGCGCCGGUAGCGCAGGACUGGUCUUCAAGAACGAGUUCUUCGAUCGCCAAGAACUCGAGCGCGGCGUCCGAAGGCGAUCCUAAAGCAGGAGCGGUUGGCAAUGGCGAUCUAAAGGAUCGGUUUGGCGAGGGCAACGAUCUUGGUGGGGAGAAGAGGGCGCAGGACUCGUCUUCAAGAACGAGUUCUUCGAUCGCCAAGAACUCGAGCGCGGCGUCCAAAGGCGAUCCUAAAGCAGGAGCGGUCGGCAAUGGCGAUCUAAAGGAUCGGUUUGGCGAGGGGAACAAUCUUGGCGAGAAGAAGAAGGCGCAGGACUCUUCUUUAAGAACGAGCUCUUCGAUCGCCAAAAACUCAAGCGCGCGUCCGAAGGCGCUUCUAAAGCAGGAGCGGUCGGCAGUGGCGAUCUAAAGGACCGCUUUGGCGAGGGGAACGAUCUUGGUGAGGAGAAGAAGGCGAGUUCGCUGCCCCUUCUGCUGCGGUGGAGUUCCAGUAGGGUUUGUAGACCGGCCUUCCGCUCCGCUGCGCGCUGUUUUCACUCGGCUCUUGUUUUAUUCCGAUGAUCAAAGUCAAGAUCUUUUCUUUUUCUUCCCUUCUUCUUCCUCUUGGGUAGGAUAUCUGGAUUCUUCUUUUAAUAAAGAAUUUCUAGUUCUCUGCAUUAGAGGCUUUUCGCUUCAAUAGAUAGCACAAAUACCACUGCAUAUUUCUUGGUUGUGCGUUCAACAUCAUGGAUUGCAUUCUGAGGGCUGCACUCCUUAAUGCGGAUUGCCAUAUUUUGCGUUGUAUUCUCUCCAUUCUUUUAGAUCCUUAAUCACCACUGUCUUCCUGAGAAAGGGACUUAAAAGGGGAACACGUUACCUGGACUAGGGCUGUUAACAAGCUGAGAGGCUCGAGCUCGGCUUGUUUCACAAAUCCUCGGACUCAGGCUCGGUACCAAGCUUUGUAUUAGGCUCAAGCUCGGGCUUGCUUGGGAGGCUCUGGCUCGGGCUCGGCUCGGCUCGUUAACAGGCCAGCUACCGACACCACCUUCUCCCCACUCUGAUGGGGAGCCAACAUCCCCACCGGAAUUCAGGAACCGUCGGAUCCAAGGAGUUCUACACCAAAAAAGACAAAAUAGGAAACAAAUCCGAGAAUAGAAGAAAACGAGAAUCGCAUCGAAAGUCUAGGAUUUGGGAGGAGGUACCUCUCUUGACCGGCGAUGUCCCAGAUCUGAGCAUCGGAAGUCUUCCUCUUCCGCUUCUCCUCCUCAACCUUCUUUUCCCCCUCCUCCUCCUCUUCCCCUUUCUCCGCCUCCCUGCUCGCCUCUCCUCCGACCACCGCCUCCUCCACCACUGGAUCCCUCACCGCCUCUCCCUCCCCCUAAGGAGAUCUGUCCUCCGAACUCUUCUUCUUCUCCUCGAGCAUUUCGAAAACCAUCGGAUCGAAGAGACCCUAGAGCCUAGAGGAAAGCGGGGAUUGUAUGAGAGGCUGAGAGCCGAGGGUUUUAGACUAAAAUAGGAUGAGGUGGCAGGGGUCGGGGAGUAGAAACGGCCAAAUGGGGCGAUGGAUGGCCAGGAUGGGUUUGAAAUUUAAUUUGGGCUUACGAGCCCAAACGAGUUGCUCGGGCUCGGAUUUAAACGGGCCUCAUUUUGGAUUCGGGCUUGGGCUCGUUUGACUAACGAGCCAAGCUCGAGCCGAACUUUUACUGGGCCGAGCCCGAAUAGCUCGGCUUGUUAACAGGCCUAACCUGGACCCUUUCUCGGAUAAAAUUAGUUUCAUGGUCAAACUUAAUUACCAAUUAAGUACUUAAAAUAUGUCAAUGAUAGUGCCUCACUUCACAGAAAAUUUAGUGUGUUGCAUCUGAGGUUUUUUUUUUCCAUGAAACUCUAGAGUUUGAAACUUGAUUUGUGGAAACCUCUUAUAAACGUUUCGAUUGGAAAAUCUUCCUACUUAAAAUUAUAUAUGUAAGACGUAAAAUAAGGAUAUAUGAAACAGAAUUCAUAUUUCCAUUUUCUACAUAAAGUUAAAGACAAGAAACUUUUAUCGUAUGAGCUACAUGUUCACCUCGUUUUUGAGUAGUUAUUAAAUUUUCACUCAUUCUCUCUCUCUCUCUCUCUGCUUUUACUAAAACGGACCAUUCAUACAGUUUUAGUACAAAUACAUUCAAGAAGGUUAGAAAACAAUAAGUUCCAGUGCGUUCUAGACAAUUUCCUCUUUCUAACCCAUUGGGCAUCUCCAGAGUAAUUAGCCACAUACGAGAUCAUCCAGUCCGUAAUUUAAUUAGCCUCUCUGAACACAUGCUUGGCCUAGAAGGCCACACCGCCACUGCUUCUUAAGAUUCGUUAUAUUCUCCCUCUUCUUCUGGCCUCUAUGAAUUAUGAAGGCCACCUUCACCUGAUUGCAUUCCUUUUGCUGCUUGUCAGUGUGACGCUGUCAAGUGUUGCUUACUGCCAUUGGUGCCUCUGUAUGUAGAUAGGGGUAGGAGAUGCUAUAUAUCUUAAGGGUCCACACAAAUGAGGUACAUGUUGAAAAUAAGCAAAAGCAUGAAAUGGACAUAUUCAUGGAAAAGGGUUUAACCAGGUAGGGUUAUAUACCUUGAUAGACUUUCAUAAAAAGAUAUUUGAGGAGCUACUUGGCAGAGAACGGGCAAGAUUUUGACGGUGCUGACUACGGGAGACGUGUUGCAGGAUGGUUGUCUUUAUGUUCUGGUAAUCCUGCACCUGCCUUCGAUUUACGAAUGCCCUAUUAUGUGUGCCUGAAGUCAUAUAUAUGAUAACUAUGGAUAAUAAGACUUUGAAGCACUAAAGUCUUAACAUGUGUAGAAUUAUCAGCACAUUUUGAAGUCAAAUAAACAUAUAUGGCAGGUCUAAGAGCUAAUAAUUCUCGAUGAGUAUCAAUAAAUUUAUCAGAUCACUGAACUCAUCUUUGACUGAUCCAUUUUUCAAGUUAGCCCAGGCCAUGAAGCACAACCCAGGGCUUCUCUAGAUGGUAAAGGUAGUGGAUCCUGUAGAAUCACCGAGUGGAUAGUACGAAUUGAUGGUGGUGGUGCUUUUAUAAUAUUUUGAAUCUAAUUGAUUUUGGCUAAAAUUUUGAUGAUGCGUGACUGUGACUGUCAUUGCUGACAGUUGUUUAACCAUGUUGAUGAAACAUACUGCUGUUAAUAUGAUUCGUUUUCUAUAUAAUCAUGCUAUUGCCCUGAUUAUCUGAUGACAUUUAUGGUGGAGCCAUGCAGGUCUCUUGAACCUCCUCGAGAUACCGUCAAUUUGUUUGCCCUAUUGCCUCGACCCAUGGAUACAGGCUAGGGGUUGAAACCUGAAAGCCGUCGUCGAGAUUUUCUUCUCUUAUGCAUCAAGCUGCCGUGUGGCCAUUUUGGCCACUGGCCGGCCUAGUGGCAGCAAAUGCAGAUUCUGCGGUACAAGCCUAUGGUGGAUUGGACGAGACAAAAACUUUGUCCGGAGCGUUCAACUAAGUUCCCAAGGUAUGCACAAAUCGUUGUGAUCGCUCUCAGACAAGCCUACCUUUUUAUGCACAAUUAUAAUUUUAUCUCUUGAAAAAGGAAAACAGAGGAAAAAAUUUUGGGAAAAAAAAGGAAUGGAAUUUAGACAGGUAGCUUUUAUGUGUUGCUACAGUUUUGGGACUUGCUGUAUGCCAACCGGGCUGGCGGGCUGAUACAUAACAAAAUAAAAGAUUUUUUUUUUGCUAUUGGUCUGAGUAGAUUUCAUGGUCACCAUUGUUUUAGAAAUCAUUUUGCCCUGAUUUUUUAAUUUAAUCUGAUAUGUUAGCAAUUCAAUAAUUCGAUGUACUUUUUGUGACCUACAAAAUCCCAAAAAUGGAGGGUCCUUUGUUUUCUCUCUCUUAUCCUUUUGGAAUGAAGCUGCAUUGGUUUUCCCAGUCCUUCUCUUAAAGAAAAAGAUAUACAGAUUCAUGACUUUACUGCUAUAAGCUGCUAUAUAUAUAUAUAUAAGACUGAAUGAUGGCCUGUUCUAGAUGUACCAGCGUUCAUGGCUGCUAAAAAUGUGAGGGCUUUCAGAGUAACAUGAGUGCGAAGUUGAAGCUCGCCCACCUGCAAUAUGGCUCGCAAACUAACCUCGACGAGCACCAUCUGUUAGCAAUACACACACGUACACAUUUAGUUCUCAAUUGAAGAACCUCCUUGCAAGCAGGAAUCAUGCAGUUUGGUGGGCCAGAGCUAUCAUUGGGUCUUUAUAGCCUUCUUGUGAUCAGUGCUUUCUAUCCGUCCUAAAGAUGACUCGUCAGGGACACGUCUGUAACAUCCAUAUUGCUUGGAGUAUCUAUUCUCUGCCUCUGCUGUCCGACGGGGAAUUUAUCUUCAUCCCUUCCCUCUGCUAUGCUCAGAAAAUGAGGGAAGAAUAUUAGUGGAAUAUUAGUCGGGAGCCAAGUUGACUGACGCAUACAAAAUUAUCUUGUUGGAUUUAUUCCUCUAAGCCACGUAUCCUCCUGUGCGACUUUUAAAUCAUGCAUCUAAACCGGGUUAGAAGAAUACAGCUCUUCCAGUGCGACUGUCCUGCUUUUUGAGAAGGCCGGGGAGAAGAAAGGGAACUUGAAGAGAGGAGCUCUACAAUUUUUGAUGAUGGCAAGGCAUGGCAAGGACAUGGAAGGAGAGAUUCAUCGAUCGAUUUUAGCUGUGGCAGGGGUUGAGUUCCUCCUCUCUGGUGAAGAAAGGGUAACAGGGAUCAUCUUCCUCGCUUUUUGUCUAAUAUAAUCCUAUAGACAAUUGAUCUGUCUGGCUAAUGUUUGUUCAUACCAGCAAUUUAUUAAGAAAGACUUUUGAUUGAAUUUGAUUUCAUUACAUUGAAGAAAAUUGAUUUUAUCAUUGCAACUAUAUAAGCUAUAACCUCUUAAUGUAAACCUUGAUUUUCUUUCUAGGAUACCUUUACCUUUUCCUUCUUUUUCUUUUUUUUGAUGAAAGAUUGCUACAAGAUACAUACUGUAGGUCAGCUGGUUCUAUUUUAUCAUGCUUUAACAUUCAUUUAACAAGAGCUCGAGCAGAGGUUCUGAAACUUUCCUUUCGGGACUUGUUACCAGGUGCCGCUGUCGUGCAUCGAAGGAAAGAGCAUCUGCUUCUUCUUUUCAGCAAACUGGUGCCGGCCCUGCCGGAACUUCAGCCCUCACCUGGUCCAGCUCUACACCACCCUCAAGACCCAGGGAGAGAAGCUUGAGAUCGUCUUCGUUUCCUUGGACCGCGACGAGAACAGCUUCUUGGACCACUUCAAGCAUAUGCCAUGGCUCGCCGUGCCCUUCGACAUCAACAUAAGGAAACGGUUAUCCCGUCGCUUGCUCAUUGAACACAUCCCAUCGUUGAUUCCAUUGGCCUCCGACGGAAGGACCGUGAAAGAGGAUGCAGUUCAGCUGGUCGAGGACUUUGGGCCCGACGCUUUCCCCUUUGGUGCUGAGAGAAGAAAAGAGCUGGAAGCCAUGGAUGAGGCUAAGCGCCACGGUGGAAAAUUAGAAGAGCUCCUGGGGUGUGGAGGAAGAGAUUAUGUCAUCUCAGGAGAUGGCGCAAAGGUAAAUCUCAUUGCCUGAUGUGUAUGCAUGCAUUCAGAUGGAGUCGAGCUCUGGAAGAUGAAUCCCAUGGUCUAAUGUAUGUGCGCUUGGCUUCCACCAGCAUCCUAAUAUAUUCUGAAUGGUACCUUAGCAAUCAAUAUUGAUUUAGUUAGGAUAACGAUUUGUGCUGCACAGUGCUGUACAAUAGCCACUAUAUCAUCGAAUUACAGAGAUGGGCAGCUAUCAAACAAAAUGAUUUUAUGUGCCGUGCAAUGGAGCAUCAUGGUAUAUAACCGUCCAUCUCCUGAUGUUGGCCAUACAACACCAUGUGGUGCAAAAUGCGCACCCAGUUGAUUUUUUGGAAAGGGAGAAUUAAUUUUAACAUCCAAAAUUCAUGUAAUAUGAUAGAGAGCAGGGCUGAUUGACAAAGAAUAGCAAGAUUCCUCCACCUGCAUGCAUGAAGCUGCAUCAAUAUCUGCCAUCGAUUACAUGCUUUGAUAUAACAACAAAGCAACAGGAAGUGGUUUUACAAAGAAAGCAUAUUUUGCUACGUACUUCACACACCAGCAGAUCAACCGAUUUUUUUUUUAAUCAGAAAAUUACUUGUUCGUCUAAAAUUCUCUCUUUUUCCAUUUUUCUAGAUUCUCAUAGCUGAUCUUGUGGGGAAAACAAUCGGCCUCUACUUUGGAGCACGGUGGUGCCCGCCGUGCCGCGCGUUUACAUCGAUGCUCGCAGAGGCGUACAACGAGCUCAGAGAUGCGAGAAAGGAGAGCUUCCAAAUUAUUUAUAUCUCCACCGACAGGGACGAAGAUGAAUUCCAAGCAAGCCUGGAGGAGAUGGCGUGGUUGGCGAUACCUUAUGCGGACAAGACCAGAUACGACCUCAGCAGGAUCUUCGACGUGAAGGGCAUCCCUAGGCUUGUCCUCCUCGGAGAUGACGGGAAGGCCCUCGAAGCCGAUGGGCGGGCCAUGAUCUCGUCCUACGGUGCCAAGGCCUUUCCCUUCACCGAGUCGAGGGCCGCCGAGGUGGAGGCGGCCCUGAGGAAAGAAGGAGAAGGGCUGCCUGGCCGAGUCAAGGACCCCAGGCAUGAACACAUGCUGAAGCUGGAUGUGGCAAAAGCUUAUGUUUGCGAUGCAUGCAGACGUCGGGGGAGACACUGGGCCUUCUCGUGCGAUCGUUGCAACUUCGAUCUCCACCCAGCUUGCGUGGAACAAAUCGAGCAAUAAAUCAUGUCCAUGUGUCUGAAAGUAACAAUGGCAAAGAUUAAUCACACACAUAUAUAUAUAUAUACAUAUAUCAUAAUAGACAAUAAUAGGACAGGUUAAUUAUCGCAUAUCUAGACUUGGUUUGUUCAAUUACCUGCUCUUCAAUCUAGUUUGAAUUAGUUUGAGAGGAGUUUACUGUCAUCAGCUGCUUCUAAUAGCCAGGCAUUCAUCGAAUGCUCCAUCCCUCUCAAUCAGACAAAUAUGUUUUCCUUGAAAUGAGUGGAUGGGAAAUCUAAUGAUAAGAAAGGAGAAUCAACUUAUGCAAUGAGAUUUUAGUUUUCUCGAUCAACUAGUAGCCAACAACCUUCCAAUUAUGGAGAUUGAAGAAUUUCUUACCUGUAGUAUAGGAAACAUAAAUUUGAGCUUUGCCUAGUUCUUUUUUUGGUAUAGCCAAGAUUCAUACCAAGGAGACAGGUUUUAUGUUUGCAAAUGGUGGACAAUGUCAUGUUCCUUCAUUUUAUGUUUGCAAAUGGAGGACCAUGUCGUGUUCUUGCCAUCAACCUUGCAACCAGCUUUAACUAGAGGGAGGGCUCCAAGAGCUAUUGCAAUACACACAAGUUUUUGUUUGCCAAAGGUCUCGGUAAACAGGUGUCUAGAGUACCAUGGUAAGAAUUUUUUGGUUAAGAACAAAGCAAGUCGGUUGGUUUGAGGUUGGUACUCUUUGUUAUCAACUCAGGGUAGAUCUUACUGACUUCCGUAAUGCAACAAUUUGAACAAACCAAUACCAAGGACAACCGAAAAACUUUACCCCAUCACGACCCAAUCUAAUUUAAGUAUUUAACCCAAUAUGACACGAGAAAAGCUCGAACCAUUUUGAACAAAGCAAGCUCAAAGUUCUCAGCCCUACUGACUCCGUUCUAGUUCACCGAUCUAAACUAACCCCAGUGUUCUUCACCUACUUAGUUUUUGCCACUCUAAUUGCAGGGGAACAAAUGCAAGAGAAAAUAAGACAAGAAAUCGCGGUGUUGCAACGAACCAACUCACAGAGAAACCAGGGGAGGUAAAGAUAGACUCCAGGAUUUACGUGGUCAACGGGUCAAAACUCUAACCCCCACCGAGAUCCAAGCUGGACCCCACAAGAACAUCCCCCUCAUAGUAAAGGUCGAGCCAUCCCUUCCUGUCCCCCAACUCUCUCUUCUUUCUCUCCACCUUUCUAUCUCCCUCUCACCACCCCUGAGUUCCACCUCAGGGUGCCGCAGAGAAUUCCAAAGAGAAGCACAGAAGAGAGAGGAAAGAAGAAGAGGGAGAGGAGGAAGAGAAAGGUGCAGAAGGUCCAAAAGAAGAGAGAGUGUGUGUUUCUGUCCGUGUGUGAUCACCUUGGGCUGGGAAGCAGGUAGGCAGUUCUAUUUCCAUUGCCUCCAUUGCCUCAUUCUUUCACCUCAACCCCAACCAAAAACCUCGGUCCUCGAACUCCUCCUCAUUGUUAUGGCCCUUAAUUAAUUAGGGACCUUCUCCUCUUCCUUGGCUGAUAGGAGUGUGUGUUUAUGAUCUGGGGUUAUCCUUGGAUAGCUACUUGGUGUGCAGAGGCGAAGUGUAAGAGGAGAAUUAUGAGCCCAACAGAAGGUGCGACGUUUCCGCUGGUGGCGGUCGCCAUUGAUAAGGAUAAGGGCAGCCAGAAUGCCUUGAAAUGGGCUCUCGAUAACAUUGUCGACAGGGGCCAGACCAUCACCCUGAUCCAUGUCAAUACCAAGCACCCGGCACGUAAGACUCUCUCUCUCUCUCUAUAAUUUGCAUGGAAAGAAAUAAGAGAAAAAUCUUUAUAUUCUUGUCUUCAUGAAAAUUAACUUUUUAUCAGCAUACAAAUAAUUUUCAUUGUCUUUCAUUUUUCUCAACAACCAAACAGAGCCUAAUAGUUUCAUCUAGUGUCAAGUUUUUUUGGAACAAAGCUGGAUUUAUUCCAGUCAGAAUAAGGGCAAAAAAAAUUUGAUGAUACAAUAGCAAAAAAUUUUGUGAUUCACCUUCUUCAAAAUGAAGAGAUAAAUAAAUAAAUAAGCUCUUUGCUUCUACUCAUAUUGUAGAUGCAGUCAUCUUCAUAACUGCAUGCAAGCCUGCCUGCAACAAAGGCAACCAGAAUUGUGUGAGAACUAUGCAUGGCUAGUCUUUCCUACAACUAAUUUAUGGCUGUCAUUUCUGAUGCAAUGCAGCGGGGCACCAAGAGGACCCUACCUUUGCAGGCAGUCAUUCAAAGGAUCUAUUUGUUCCCUUUCGAUGUUUCUGCACGCGUAAAAAUGUGAGUUGCCUUUUCUCUUUUUCUGAGGAUCUUGAUCUGGAAUUACCAAUCAAACUACACAUUGUAGUUAUCAACCCUUGAAUGAUAUGGAUAAACCUUAUUUGUUCAGCUCUUUAUUCGCUUUAUCAAGGUAAUACAAGUUUUUGAGAGAAACAAGGUAAUGCAAGUUACCACCCAUAAUAUUCAAUACUCAACACAGGUAGUCUAGAAGACAAUCUAGAAUCAUUCUUGAGCAAAGAACUCUAUUGCCAUAUUUAAAUGAAGAAUAAUGCCUAUUACAUUUUCCAUCACCAAAGUUUCAUAGCCCUUGUAUUUCUUUAAGGUAGCAUUCAACAGCUACAGGCACAUUCUUUUCUACUGUUUUCACAGCCAGAUGUCCAAAUCCACAAGAAAUUUGGCUGGCAUAAUACAUAAGAUACCACAAAGGGUGUUCUGUCUACCAAAAGGGUUUCAGGGAUUAUUAUCAGCUAUAAGAUGAUAUAAAAUGAAACAAAUCUGAGAAACAAGCAUAUAUAAAGAGAUUCAAACAUCUAGGACAGUAUUAGUUACCUCUCGGAGUCAGAGAAUCUCUUCCCAGCUGUGUAAAAUGGGAUGCCAUGGCAGCACCACUCUUUUUGGCCAUGCCAUGCAUCCAAAAUACCAAUGCAGAGCAUUAUAAGAAUUAGAUAUUCUGCUAUUUCUUUCCUAGCAGGCCAGUGCGAUCAGAUCUUGACAAGAUAUAACAAGCCUUCAGGUUAUAUUCAACCUCCUGGUCCUCAUGGUCAUGAAAAGAUAUUAGACUUUAUCCCAUCAUAUGACGUCUAGGACCUUAGCAGCUAAGAGAGCUACCAACUCCCAUUUAUGAAUAAACACUAGAGUCAUGGACGCCUUCCCCUCCUCUUUUUACAUGAUUCUCAAAUACCAGUUCCAAUAAUGAAAAUGAAACCACCAUAUGUGGUACCCCUGUACCCCUGCAGUCUCUCAAUCCUGAGAGAAGACCGAUAAUGUAAACCUUGUCUCUCCCCGGCCUUUCUGGACAAAACCCAGAAGUUUGCCACUGCAUUUCAUUGGUAGACAUGUCUCAUUCAAUUAUCUAGUACAGUGCUCGCCAUUCAUAAAUCCACAAAAGUCGUGAUACAAAAUAUUCUCUGACCCAAUUUUCCAUUUUGUUCAACAGGUACAAUGCAAGGAUAUCAUACUCGAAGACACUGAGAUAGCAAAGGCGAUCAUAGAGUUUGUCUCGCAUGCUGCUAUUGAAAAGCUUGUCGUCGGUGCACCUUCAAAAAGUGGAUUUGGAAGGUAAUUUAUACAAUCUCAAGCAAUGUCAUAAUGGAGCGGAAGUCUCUGGUUAGGAAAGAAACAUGCCCUCUCAGAAUAUUUAUUGUCAUAUCUUUUCCGUCAGAAGAUUUAGGACUACAGAUGUCUCUACCAGUAUUUCCAAGGGUGCACCUGAUUUCUGCACCGUUUACAUCAUAUCCAAAGGGAAGGUGUCUUCCAUGAGGAAUGCUGUCCGAGCAGCGCCGGCCGUCUCCCCGUUCCGGGCUCAAAUUCAAAACCAAACAAGUAUAAGAAGUGAACAUGUAGACCCACAUCACCCUCAUGGUGUCAGAGGUUUGUGUAAACAUGAGAAUUGCUGCUGUCAUCAGUUUCUCUUUGAAUAGAAAAUAGAAAGCUUUCUUGUCCCCUUCACUCAAAAGAAAUUACGAGAUUUUCAAUUGCCAGGAGAGGCAGCAUUAGAGAAUUGGAAUGUGCAGAGCGAACGGGAACCAAUCAGGUAAUACGUCUUGUAGUGCAAAAACAGUGACACAGCUGCACAGCAAUAAGUAGUACUUUCUUUUGCUCCUAUGUUGAAUUGCAAGCUAAUAUGGUACCUCAAACAGGUCGCCAUUCACCAGAGGAACACGUGUCUUAACUGGAAAAUCAUAUACAGAGAGUAUAGGAGACAGUGAUAUAUCAUUCGUGAGUGGUGGCAGGCCAAGCAUCAAUCGCAUCUUUAAUCAGAGGUCGUCCAACAUGUCUGACGGCUUAGAUAGCAGCUUUGAGAUGCAAUCCCCACACAAGUCGGUGGGUGGCGGUUUCUCAUGUGGGACUGCAUUCUCUUCAAUGUCUCAGGACAGCACACCAUCAUCUCUCACCAUGGUAUGUGUAUUUACAUCUGAAGCACAAGAACAAAUUUCUUAAAAAGAAAGAACAAGAAUAAAGCUGUGUUUUGAGUAAUCAAAUGGAUACCUGCGAAUUUUUUGCAACUUAGCACCAGUCGUGAAGCUACGUGAUGCCAUCAACGAAUGGCAAUAAGUGUGAAUACUUCUCCGUCCUGCCUCCUUGGUUGAUGGUCACCAAUUUGUUCCGUCACUCGCAGGAAGAUGUGGAGGCGGAGAUGAAGAGGCUGAGACUAGAACUCAAGCAGACAAUGGACAUGUACAGUACAGCCUGCAAAGAAGCACUCACAGCCAAACAGAAGGUAAUGUUUUCACCACAUCUACAAAAUCCUAACUUCCUUGCUGAUUAUGCCUUUCGCUGCAGGCAAAGGAGCUCCAUCAUUGGAAGAUGGAGGAAGAGAGGAGGUUAGAGGAAGCUCACAUGGCGGAAGAAGCUGCCCUGGCUUUAGCAGAGAAGGAGAAAGCAAGAUGUAAGGCAGCCAUAGAGGCAGCUGAAGCCUCCAAAAGGAUCGCAAAGUUAGAAGCACACAAGAGAAUUAAUGCAGAAAUGAAAGCACUCAAAGAGGCUGAGGAGAAGAAGAGAGCAUUGGAUGCUUUAGCACAUACAGAUGUCAGGUAUAGGAAGUACACGAUAGAGGAGAUAGAAGUGGCCACGGAAUACUUUUCGGAGAAGCGGAAGAUUGGAGAAGGUGGCUAUGGUCCUGUUUACAAAUGCUAUCUGGAGCACACACCUGUCGCCAUUAAAGUUCUGCGGCCGGAUGCAGCUCAAGGGAGAUCUCAGUUUCAACAAGAGGUAUUAAACACCUUACACAGCCAUGUUACAUCGUCAAAGCUCUGUUAAUUACUCCAUAUGCAUACCAUGUGCAGAGUAUGAAAUGCAUCAAUUGGUGAUCCCAUAGCCAAUUAAAUCUUCUCUUGAUAGAGUUCCUCUACAACUAGCAGCUGCUAUGAUGAAUCCUGAAUAUUUUCAGUUGCAUGUGAACUUCAAUGCAGGUUGAAAUUUUAAGUUGCAUGAGGCAUCCAAAUAUGGUUCUUUUGCUGGGUGCCUGCCCAGAAUAUGGCUGCCUUGUCUACGAAUACAUGGCUAAUGGGAGCUUGGAAGAUCGCUUGUUCCAGCAAGGAAACACACCACCAAUCCCUUGGCAGCAUAGGUUCCGCAUUGCUGCUGAGAUUGGCACAGGCCUCCUCUUUCUGCACCAGACAAAGCCAGAGCCACUGGUCCACCGAGACCUUAAGCCUGCAAACAUCCUCCUCGACCGAAACUAUGUCAGCAAAAUCAGCGAUGUUGGCCUUGCCCGCCUGGUUCCCCCAUCUGUUGCGGAAAAUGUCACUCAGUAUCGCAUGACCUCCACUGCUGGAACAUUCUGUUACAUUGACCCUGAAUACCAGCAGAGUGGCAUGCUUGGUGUAAAGUCCGACAUUUACUCUCUUGGGAUCGUGCUGUUGCAGCUGAUCACUGCAAGACCUCCCAUGGGACUGACACAUCACGUGGAACAUGCAAUCGAGAAGGGGACAUUCACAGAAGUGUUGGAUCCAUCAGUCAUAGAUUGGCCAGUGGAGGAAGCCUUGAGCUUAGCCAAUAUAGCACUCAACUGUGCAGAGCUAAGACGGAAGGACAGGCCAGAUCUUGCUACAAUAGUGUUGCCGGAGCUUGAAAGACUGAGAAAUCUUGCAGAAGAAAAUAUGCAACAUUGUGCAUCUUUUGGCAGCUCACACACCUCACCCAUACACAGCCAAGUUUCUUUUCCGGUAAGCUAGAAGCAAAAAACCUGACUUAAUUUCUUACCUCCAAAAAAAGGAAAAGAACAAGACUACAAGACGGACACAGGUACAACCAUACUAAGUAAACUAAGAAAAAUCUGCAGAGUACCAUGCAUUGCUAGUUAGAUAUGAAUUUGGAAAGGGUAGCAUGGAAGAUAUUUAUAGAAACCAUACCUAGGUAUGUUAUAGAACUUUACACGUAUGUAUUCUUCCAUCACCCUUUGCAUGUAAACUGGAUAUUUCAAUUUAGACUUGCUGACAAAUAACUAAGCAAAUUAAAAGCAGUCAUGUGUUAUGCAAUUGUGGACCAUGGUAGAUAGACCUCAAUAGAUAAAGAAAUGAUAAUUAGAUCCCAUCUUCAAAGAAUAACUUAAUUGGUAAUUUGGUCUUGCUGGUAAAAUAUUUGAAAUGUUUCAGGAUGGUGUAUGCACGUGGAGAGCAGCAUAUGAAGAAAAGCUACAUCAUUUAAUAUAUAAGUACAAAGAAAAUGCUGCUGAAUAUCUAUAUCUUUGCUAAAUUCAAGAACUUAGUUGAUUUGAUGAGUAAUCCAAGAAAACCAAAAUAAGUUUUUCAUGCUGUCUUUCUGGGACUGAGAAUGGCAUCAUAUCAUCAUCACUUUUUCCCUUUUUUUUUUUGAUAUGUAUAUCACCAUCACCUUCAUAACUGAUCUGUAGUAACAUUUUUACAAAGAAAGUUUGUGAACCAUACAGUGGAUAUAAGAAUUUUUUUGAAUGAAUCAUUUCCAUCUUUUCUUGUUUACAGGAUGUCUUGAGCCCUCUACCUGGACAAUCUGGAUAUGAAAGCUCGAUAACCCGAUCAAGUGCAUCAUCCAUGUAUGGAAGAUGAUCAAGUGCUGCCUGAGAAUAUAGGGAACAGAUAAACCUGACAUAAAGCUCACUGAGAAGUACAGAAGGCUAUUUGCAUAAGGAGCCAAAAGAAUAACAUGAUUGCUCAGGCAGCUUUGAAACCAUUGCAGAAGCUGAAAAUCCAUAGUCAGCUUUUCAGCACUGAGUAAAACCAGUUGCUAUCUCAAGUAACAGAUCCUUCCCUCUGGGAACAGACAAGCAUGCUUAAGAAAAUAGCACAAGAUAUCAUUACUUCUCUUAUUCCCAUUUUGUUCAAGCUGGAGAUCCAACUUUUUAUUAGUUCCGAUGCCCGGAAAGAAAUGAUAAAAGAAGUCCCGAGUCAAGGCCUUUGCAGACUGGUGACAAGUCAUUGUGAAGGUGCAGCUUCUGCAUCAUGGUAUUGUCCAAAGCUCUAGGGUAAAGAAAUAUAGUUGUAAUCUGUAAUUUUCAGAUAUGCUUAUUUAAAAUAUGUACUGUCGAUACAACUACCACUUGUACCAUUUUACACUAAAAAUUUUCUCUUCUCAAUUUUUCUUUGAAAAAAUGAUUGCCAAAGCAGAACAGUUAUGAGAUAAACAAUUCUUUCAAUUUUAUUGAUUUUGCACUAUUACCAACUUGUUUAAGUUGGAAAAGCAGGCUUCAAAUUAAGAAACAACCAGCUUAGCAACCCUUCAAUAUAUGGUGCACAUGUGCAAGAAGAUGCAAGUGACAUACAAGAAUUCAAUAUAACCAAGGUCAUUCUAUUCAUAAUAAAAUAUCUAAAUUUUAUAAUUAUUUAUCUUAGAAAGCCAUUGCAUUUGGGAUCCACCUGCAGAGUAAGUUACAGAAUCAAACUUUUGUGUUUCCAUUGCCAUUUACUCUCAAAUACCUAACAUUUCAGAUUAAGCCAGUCAUAUUUUGCAACUAUUUUCCUUAUUCCUUCUUCUCAUAUAUGUCAGCUUGAUUAUUUUUUUCUAACCAUUCAUAACAGUACUCAUUUAAUCAUUUCCUUUUUCUGCCGUAAUGACUUCUGAAGUUUGAAUACUAAUUGAAGUCUCUAGGCAUAUGAAAAUGUAUCGGAGAGGUUGCCAUUUGGUUCGUUUCACUGCUUUGAAAGCAAUUGUAUACAGCAAUACGCCUAUUAAAAUGAACCAAGCAUUCUCUUAUGGCACUCUCAUCUCACAAAUAAUAUUUCUCUUUUAAGAAUAAUCAUGGGGGCGUCCUUGAUCAUUUCAUAGAAAUGAUUGAAUAAUUACCCACAAAAACUCAGGAAAACACCUCUCAAGUUUCAAACAUAUGAAGAAGGCUGCGACCCCUAGGAUACACUAGGAUAUAGCCAUACUUGCAUAUUACUGCAAUCAAUGAACUAAUAAAAAAUGAAUGACGACUUCUAUCCAGACAUGCAUCAACAGAACCAUACAUCACAAGAUUUGGAAUGGCACUCUCAUCAUGCUCAUCCUUGAGAAAUGCUAAAGGCCAUUCAUCUUAUGCAAUCAGCCUAUGUGGAAUUCCAGCCUUGACCAGACUUACGAAAUUCUUUCCACAGGCUUUUCAUUUUCCGGAGAAGAAAAGCGGAUAAUCAGUCUGUACUGCAUGUUCUGCCUUUCAAGAUCCAUAGCGUUAAAAACUGGAUUUUUCUAAACGAACUUCCUUUCCCUUGCAUAUCUCGACACCAUUCCCCCCCGUUGCUUCUGAAACUAUCAAUUUUGUCACCCACCAUACACCAAUAGAGAUAAGUACAUCUUAUAAUAUGUCAUGAAAUCAUUCAGUAUGCAGCAGAAAUCCAAACCUCUAAAACCAUUUUUUUUUUGAGUUGUAUUGUCCUCUGAACCUGAAUACCUUUCUCAUUGCUAACAUGAAAACUAGAGAGUCAGGAGGAUGCAUCACAAGAAACUCAGGUGAUCCCAUCAAACCUUGAUGCUAGACACAUUGCUGUAGAGGACUGAAAGUGGAAGACAGGUCGUCGGAAAGCUGCCUACCGCUUAUUGCUAGGUGGACAGCCAGAGGUCAAGGAGGCCCAGAAAAUAAUAUAUCAUAAAGAACUAAUAAUUAUAAGGAGAAAUCCAAAAAGAAAAAUCUAUAUUCCAACAAAUGAAGCAUCAUAUAUCUAGAUAUAUGUAUCAAUUUGGUAACUUCGAGUACUAGUUUAUGAAUCAAUCUCAUCCUCCAUACCGAAACAUGACACGAAAUGUUGAGCUGGAGGCACUCGCAGCAUCCUUUUAAAGCAAUAACCAGGCACAACACAAUCAAUCUACUGACACUCCAGAUCCAUCGCAAGCAUAACAAAGCAUCAAAGCUCAUAAAGUAAGCCAACCGAAAAAAAAAGAGAGAUAAAUUAUUCAUAAUACGAAUAAAAUAACAGUUAUAUAGCAAAAUUAGGUAUUUGAGCGCGACCUAAUUAUCACAUCGAAUUAUCAGUGCGACGCCUUUGUAUAUGUCAAUGUUACUCCAAUUUUGUAACCAGUGCUAGAUGAUUUGAUCUCAAUAUAAAGGGAAUCCAAAUGCAUCCCGGUAUCCAGCUUAAAGAAAGCUAAAAAAAGGGGGAAAAUCCCUUUUUUAAAGUGAACGAGCUAAAUCCCAUGGAUGGAUCGUUCUGUUCUAUAGAAUAAAAACCAUAUAUAACAGAUCGACGAACAGACAGAUGAAGAAAUGGAAUCCAGGCGCUUACCUUUCGAUCCGAAACCCUAGAAUGGAUCGCGAUUUGGGGAAAAUGGAGGACGGCAAGGAACCAACCGAGCUCCGAGGACGGAAAAAUGAGUUCGUGGCGGGAGCGAAACGGCUUAAUUUUGGUCGGUCCGGUUCUAGACGCCGACCGCGUCGAACCGGUGCUCGAUAUCGAUUUGGGCCGGGCUCAGAGACCAAGGCGCAGCCCAUUUCGAGUCCUCUAAGGAAACGAAUUAUUGCAAGAAAAGCAGCCUGAUUAAGAAGCAUAAAAGCUUUUAAGAUGAGUGCUAAAUUAAAUGAAAUGGAGCACAAAAUGUUGUUCAUUUAUGGGAAAAGUUACCUUAUCCGGAAUGGUUAUAUAAUGGCCAAGAGUUUAUAUAAAUUUCAUUUUUAUAACUUGAUACACUCAUGCAUUUCUAACCAGGAGCUUAUCUCAUAUUAAAUUUGGAAAAAUUGAGAAGAAUUAUUCUACAUUUUACAUAUGGAUAUGAAGUAAACAUGGAGUUAAAGAUAGCAGAUAAGAUAAUUAUUGUCGUAUUUAUGCAAGUCUAGAAACAAAUGGAUUCAUUAGAUCAGUAGACUGCUGCAUAUGAUUCAUUUAUUUCGUGGGUUGCACAAAGGUUCAGACAUAGGAACAUCUUUGGAUUCCAAAAGGGAUCGGCUCUAUCAUGCAUGACAAAUGUGGUCCAUUAAUUCUUUUAACUAUCUGACAUAGCUUGCCUGAUUUCUCAUGGGUAGUUAUUAUGGAAACUUGAUUCACUAUGUAGCUUGGUCAUGCUUAUUUAGGAGACCAUUAAGCCAGCAAUGCUAUGCCAUGGAUGCGUCUAUUAUAUCCUUCUUGGGAUUGGGCUGUGUAUUUCAUGAAAAAGAAGGAUUCAUCUUCCUUCACACGGAUCUACUAUUGGAGUGCACACUAUUCGCUAAGCAUAUUGAAAUAUGUGCAGUGAGUGAUCUAAUGGUGGAUUUGCAUGAAGGUAGGUGAAUCCUUCUUUUGCAUGAAAGAUACACCCCUAUCCAUCCUUCAUACAAUGGUUAAUGGCUAGGCAAAUCCAUCCAUCUCUAUAUAUAAUAUAAUAUAAUAUAUAAAGAAAGGGAGAGUGAGAGCUAGAUUGGGUUAUACUCGAAUGGAUAUCUAUUCAAAUCUAGUUAAAUCUAAAUUGGACGAUAGGGAUCCCACAUUGAUGAUUCAGAGUUAUUAAAUGUAAUCUACUAUACUAUCUUUAGAUUGCUUAUAUACCAAAAAUCAUAUGAUUUGGAGAUGACUAGUCCAUACGUCGAGUGGUUUCAAAAUAAACAACCUAAAUAAUGCUAAAUUAUAUUUUUUAUUUUUUAAUUACUUAGUAUAUAGAUGAUCCAAAUAGUUUAAAGCUAGUAGACCGCAUCCCACAACUCGGAUCAUCAAUGUGGAAUUUUCAUUGUCCAAUUUAGAUCGGAUCGAAUUUAAGUGAAAAUCCACUCUAUAUAUUAUAGUCAAAUGCAGCUCUCUCUUUCUCUCUCUAUCUCUCUCAUUAUAUAUAUUUUUGUGUAUGCGUAUGUAUGUAUGUAUAAAUAUAUAAUAUAUUGAUAUAAAAUGCAGCUAAUGCUCAACAGAGCGAGCAUCACAAACCAUGGACCUUGUACUUCUCAAUAUGCUUUUGAAGUACCAACAGACCCUCUCGACUGCACGGCUUUCCUUCAACAACAUAAACAAAGUGCCGAACAACAAAUUCUAACCACAAGGUUCCAAGUUCGAAUCGCUGCGGCGACGAUUAAAUUGUGGACCGGAGCUCACUACUUUGGCCACCGCUUGGACUUGUGGUGUAGGACCGCUCUUGAACCGCUAGUAGCCGGGGUGGUGCCGGGUGUGACGUACUCACACGUGGGACUCGAGCCAGAGCUCAGAGGAGUAGCUGAGCCGGGCCUACGGGUGGGGAGGGUAUGAGUAAAACCGGUCGGGGUGCCCAACACACGGCCAUUUCUGCCCGCAUCGAACAUUCUCCUGGCGGGGCGGGGGCCCAGUGGGGGCUGCUACGCGGGGGUGGGCUUGUCCCUUCCUCCCUCCUACCCCUUUUUCAUUAGCAAAAAAAAAACAACAACAAAUUCUAAGUGUACGACACACGCUGCAGAUACUUUUCUCACGGACUACUUUUUUUUUUUCUUUAGGCAAAAUGGAAGAGGACCAACCCUCGCAGCAAUCUCCACUAAGCCACCUCUUUACUAAAAAAUAUCCGGUACGAUCAUACCAGCACCAUCUAAGUAAUAACAGAUCAGAUAAUAACUUAAUCGGGCACCAAAUCUAUCACCAAUAUUGCCUUAUCAAAACCUUUGUGCAACUUGUGUUUGCUCGUAGCCAUCUGUGUUAAUUUGCUGGUGCCGGUAGCUAGCCAACAAAGAAGACGCUUAAAGGUGACGGUGUUACGAAGAAAAUGGUGCAUGUUUGAAGAGUCAAAUGGACUUUUCUUUUUUUUAUGUAUUCACUCCAGGCUUGAGCCAUUCGUUGUAGAGAGAGGGAAAAAAAAAAAAAAACUAGAAGGACUGCAAACAAGUCCACAACAAAAGUGCCCUCCACCGCUUGAGUCGGUCUUAACUUUCACUUCCUUGCACAAUAGGGACAUUGAGAACCUGACGUCUAAUCUGCUGUUGUUCCCUUGCAGCGAGUGGAAGAAGAAGAAUUUUCUUUACCUCUUGAAUGAUUCUUUUAUUCUCUUGAGCAAUGUUUUGUCCUAUCAAAGUGAUGCAGAAAGAAAGGGAAUAUAAGAGCAAGAAAUUAGGGAGAGAAUUUGACACGAUAUGACGCAUUGUGUGGGCACCAUGAACUUGAAAGGAAAGAAAAGUAAAGAGAAAUGCCCAAUUUUAUAAUCCAUUGCCCCAAGCUUUAUUAAGCACAUCACACUACCUAUAUGUUUUUAUAAUCAUCUUUAUUAUACAAUAUCUUAUCAUAUCUUGACAAUUUAUAGGAUAUCUCCUGAGAUCAUCACCCCAUUGUACAUUGUCACCUUCCAUGACAUGACAUCAACAAGAAAUGAUAACCUAAUUAAAGACAAAAAUAUUGAACUAUCAACCUUUCUCUUAAAAUUGUCCAAUAUCAAUAUAUACAUCCUUCCUAGUAUAUUUAAAAUCCUCUAUAUCUUUUAAAUUGAUCCUCUUUUUUCCCUCAUGUCCUCACUUUGCAAAAAUGAUGAAGAUUGAGAUGGCAUUUUGCUUCAUAGUGUAUGCAUAUAUAUGUAUUUAAUAAUGAAAUUCGGAAGAUUUGCACUAUAUAGACAUAUUGUGCCAACCAAUAAUAUUAAUAAGGUGUCUAAAUAUUUUAACGGCCUUUAUGCUUGGUAGGACUGAAUUUGAGUUGGUUUACAUGGAAUUAGAUCUUAGUUUCUUUUGGAAUUAGUGUUAUUAUUCCAUAUAAUGAUUGCAAUUUGGUUGUUUUUUUUUAUUGAAUGCAUAUCAAGGAUAAGAAAAUUGAUGUUUUGAAAUAUGAGGAAAAGUAUUAAAAAAAGUGAAAAUUUUUGAUCAUGGCUAAGUUUGCCCUUGCAAUAACCAAUAUCUUUUGUACAUUUGCAGUAUAAAUUAUUUCAAAAGAUAAUUACAAUACCAUUAAGUUAAAGGAGGAUAGAAUUUAUUAAGAUAAAAAUUAUCUUUUAGUUAUAUUUUUCCAAACCAGACAUAUUUGCACUUCCAUUGUUAGUUUAUAGUAAUUUAUUUAAAUAUCAUAUUAGUAUGAAUAUAUAAGAAAAAUAACUAAUAUAGUAUCAGUAUACUGGUAUUAGUACAAUAUAUUAGUUUAGCAAUAAUAAUAAACUAAUAUUAUUUUAUAUUAAUAUAUUAAUACAACAUCAAAAUCAAUAUUUCCAGACUGCAUGAACAAAUAGAAGAUCGGACUAGUUAACUUGCAUUUCGACUUCUAGUUGAGCCCAUAAUUGUCAAAAUUUGGGAAUGAAAGCAAUGCCCUAUUUUAUACUUCUUUUGAUGUCUUUGAUAGCCCGAAAUGUUAUACAUACAUAUAUACAUACAGACAUACAUAUAGUGUGUGUGUGUAUAAGAUUUGACAAAAUGUGACAAAAUAUAAAUUGGUGGAGAUUAAAGAUUGCAGCCUCCACUAGUUGCAUUGUACCUCUAUUGAGACACAUGGCAAUGCCUCAUUUUUGAGAGUUGAGUGACGUUUUUCUUUCUUGAGAGAGAAUAUUAAGAUAUCCAGCAGAAAGAUGAUGUAUUUCAUUCAAUUUGUUGUUUGUGGAGGAGAUAGAGAUAGAGAUAGAGAUAGAGAUAGAUAGAUAGAUAGAUAGAUAGAUAGAUAUAUAUAUAUAUAGAGAGAGAGAGAGAGAGAGGAAAAAAAUUUACAGAUUGCCUCUGAAUUAGAAGCCACCAUUCUACAGUAACGGGAAAGUUAUCUUUGAUGGAAACUUGAGACAUAAUUCCUUGAAAGAGAAAGUUUAAAAGUUAUAACAUCUCUUUUAUUUCCAUAUAUAAUGGAGUUUUUCCAGUAAAACCAUCUCACCUUACUAAGGAGUAAAUCUUAUAAAAUAUAGUAAACCAUGAAGAUCAUGUUUUGCAUAGAACUCAAAAAACUUCAAACUUUUUUUAUUCAUUCGUCUUCAUAGAUCUCAAAAUAAUUGUAUGUUAUGUAAAUCAUAUUUUGCACAGAAAGCAAAGCGCUCCAAACUUCUUUAUUCAUUUAUCAUCUUUACAGAUCUCAAAAUGAUUAUUUUAUAAUAGAACAAUGGAUUAGUGGAACUUUAAUUGCAUUGGGAGUGUCACGUAGUGCAGAAGCAAUGGUUAACGCACCCACUAUUGCCUGCACUCAGCGUGCGCACAAAGGGAAGGUGGUGCAAGCGAGAUUAUGGAAUUGGGCCACUUUAUAAAGCAGAACGGUAGUACUUUUCGUAUGAUACUGCUCUCCCGUAGCUUUCAUCGCCACCUUAACAAAGGAUGUCUGGCCUUUCUGAAAUCACUUAGAAUGGGCGAAUAGAUGCUAGUUGUCUGAAGGGAAGGUAAAAAGCUUCGAACAAAUCUAGAUGGGGCUGAUUAGAUUUUUUUUUUUCUUCGAACUUCUCCAAUUCAAAACCACUCUCACCCUCCGUCUCCAGCAGCAGUUUUGAGAAAAGGGAUGAGUGGAUGUUAAUAAUAGUUUGGCUUUAUUCUUACAGAAUUUUUUUUUACUAAGAACAUAAUAGUUAUGUUUACAUAUUUUUUAAAAAUAAAUACUCAAUUAAAUAUAAGCUUAUAUUACUUUUUCAUAGUUAAUCAAACGGGCAAAAUCACUUUUUCAGAUAUCAUGUAUUCAGAAUUCUACUUUUCAGAAAAAAAGCAUUUCAAUGAGGAAAUUUUUUUUCUCACGGGCCAAAAGUCCAAAAGGCUAAUCUUACUUUUCUUCGUGACAAUCUUGCCUUUUUAAAAAGCUUCAUAAGAGUUGUGUGUGUUUUGGUCCCACCAUGCUAAUAAAUGGCAAAUAUAUUUUUAAAUAAUUUGAAUAAAUGAAAAAUCUUAUUAACUUCGUUUUGUAACUUUUAGUUAACUGUAACCUACCUACCUACCAAGCAAAUAACACGAGGGAGCAGCCAGUAAGAAUAAGAAGGUUGUCAAAAUGGGCACUUCUUUCUAAUUUACAUAAACCUGCUCCAUUACAACGGGGUGUAGAAGGAUUGCACUGGUAUAGAUUACAUCAUGAUCACACCGGUAUAUAAACCGAAAAAACACACACACACACACAUAUAUAUAUGGGGGUUGAUAACCUACUCUCUGUUAUGGUAGGUUAUCAAUCUACUCAUUUUUCAUUAGACAAAAAGUACCCUUACUUUUUAUAACUUUUAAGGGCACUUUAUGUCUUUUUACAAUCUCACAUUUACUCACCCUCUUAACCCCUCCAAUUAAUGCUCUCUCCCUCCUCUCUCUCUCUCUCAUACAUAUACAUAUAAAUAUACAUACAUACAUACAUAUAUACAUACAUACACAUACAUACAUACACAUACAUACAUAUACACAUGCAUACAUACAUAUACACAUGCAUACAUACAUACGUACAUACAUACACAUACAUACAUACAUACACACAUAUAUAUACAUACAUACAUAUAUAUAGACAUACAAACAUACAUAUACAUACAUGCAUACNNNNNNNNNNNNNNNNNNNNNNNNNNNNNNNNNNNNNNNNNNNNNNNNNNNNNNNNNNNNNNNNNNNNNNNNNNNNNNNNNNNNNNNNNNNNNNNNNNNNNNNNNNNNNNNNNNNNNNNNNNNNNNNNNNNNNNNNNNNNNNNNNNNNNNNNNNNNNNNNNNNNNNNNNNNNNNNNNNNNNNNNNNNNNNNNNNNNNNNNNNNUAUACUACUAUAUAUAGUAUAUAUAUAUAUAUAGUAUAUAUAUAUAUAUAUAUAUAUAUAUAUAUAUAUAUAUAUAUAUAUAUGUAUAUAUAUAUAUAUAUUAUAUAUAUAUAUAUAUUAUAUGUAUGUAUGUAUGUAUUUCAGUCAUCAUGAAGACACUACACAACUUGCAUAUUAGCUAUUAAUUGAUAUCAUUAGCAUCAAAAUUAUUGUAAUAAUAUUUCUACAUUACACAAUUAUUAAAUAGUUAUAAUGCUGUUCUAUCUUAUGGUGGUUCUCAAUCAGCAACUUUGUCUACAUGCUUAUUGGUACAGCAAUUUUGCGUAUUUUUUCUUAAUCUAAUUGACAUGGGAAAGAUUAGAAUCUGAUAAGAUGCGUCCAAUUAAAAAAACAAUUUAUUUAUGGCAUAUUAGUUUUAACUUGUUGAAAAUGUCCAUGUUCUUAGUAGGUCUUUUACAUUACAAACAGAAGUUCACUCCAAGCAAUGAAAUUAAUUUGCAUUAAGGUUUCUUGAUUGAAUGAGUAUUCAUGAUUGGCAUAUGAAUCUUCAAUGGAUACACAGGAGUUAAAAACAUUUUCAAAGGAAAGGAGUGUAUUUAGUAACUCCUUCAUAAAAUCAUGGUAUCAUAUUUCUCACCAUGUCAUAGUUGUUGGCUGUUGCGCACUAUGAAAAGGCAUGUUGCACAAAUCUCCUCAGCAUAGCUCUAUUAGCGAUUGAAAAUUUUAAAAAAUUUGAUAUGUGCUGGAUAAUGUAAUAGUCUUGCAGAUUGAAUUUUUUGGCGUACUUAAUUCAAAAGCAAAUAAAUAAAAUACAAAUAAAUAAAUAAAUGCCACCACCUCCAGGAAUAAAUUUAGUGCAGAGUGAUUAAUUCUGCAGAUGAUGUAGGCUUGAAUGAAAAUAAUCUAAGAGCAAUCAUGCACAUCCAUCAAAUUCGUAUAUAGUGGGAGAUUGAUAGUAUAAUCUUAGGAGAUUUUGAGAAGAUAUAUAAUGCACGUUAGUGCCAUUUUUUAAACCUUACUAAAACAAACAUAUAAUGUUUACAUAAUUACAAUCUGCUGCCGCUAAGAACUGGCCCGUCUUAGGCACUGCGAUGAGAAGCGAGAUGAUGCUGGAAAGCUCAAUUAUCGGCUGCUCCAGUCGGGAUCGGAGAGAGCAAGGAGUAUGUGAUGGCUACCAAGGUCCUUUUUGGGUGACCGGACUCCGAUCUGAAACAACACAAACGAAGAAGUCCUUUAAUCGGAGCGUAUCCGGCCGAGGAUCCUUCAAUGCCUAAGCCAAAAUAGUGCUCAUAAAAUAGAAGAAGGUGUUCUCUCAGUCUGUUAGGGCAUCUUUUGUGUGUGUCCUCACCUCCUGGGUUUCCUUCCUUUUUGAUUGAGGGGCUGGAGUUUACCUAUGAUCGAAGAAUUAGGGCACAUGGGCCGAUCAAAAAUGGCUGGCUUGGGUACAAUCUGGACAUCAAGCAUGAAUCUCGCACGCAGAUGAUGUCCUGUCUGUCACAUCAGUUAGAAUUUUGGUGAUCACUAGGGCCUCCGGUUAGGAGUAGCCUCUCCUGAUCAACCACAUGUAGGCAUCGUGGCAAAUUUUGAUUGGCUGGCCCUUCUGAUGAGCUAUGGCCAAUUUGGAGGUGCAUCACUUUCUUCCUACUUUCGCAAUCAAAUUGAGCUAACCUGCUAUGGUUGUGGAAGUAGUUUUUCAGAAAGGCCACAUUUUUUUUGCUACAACGGAUGGCUCAUACACUUCUAUUGUGAAUACAUCCAAAAAAGUUAAAAGAUAACAAGUCUUGGAGUGCUCUAGGCAACUCUCUCUCACCAAUCUAAAGGACUCCUCCAGAGUGGUUAGCCACAUAUGACACCACCCAAACUGCAACUCUAUUGGCCUUUCUAUAGAUAUGCUUGGUCUGGAAGGCAAUGUCUCCACCUACCAUGGCCCGAAUAUCUUGAAGCAAAGUGUGGAAGCUAUUUACGCCGUUAGUGCCCCCUGAAUCUAACCGAUCACUGUAGCCGAGUCACCCUCAAAUAGGACUGCGCUGGCCCGCAAAACAUGCGGAGCUUAACACAGACCUACCCAAGCUGCCCUCAGCUCUACCUCCAGAACAAAAAUGUCAAAGAUCUGGCACCCACCUGCAACAACCACCUUAGAGUCAGGAUCUUUGAUGACAAAGCCUGCGCCACUCCUCCUGCCACCGUCUAGCAUGCAUCAAUCAAAGUUGACCUUAAGAAAACUUGAGGAUAGGGGCUCACAGGUAAAAAUUGUUGGAAGUCUCAUUCCUUUAAUAGUUUGUAAUGUUGAGAGGGGUUUUAGUCCCACAUUACUUGUGUAGAGUUUUUUAGAUAGCUUUAUAAGCAUUCAUAUCCUACACAUGUUAAAGUAACUUUUUGGUGGAAAGUUGUGGAGGGAAAGCCAAUAUUAUAUUAUCAAAGAUUGGCACUUGGCACAUGUAAAAUAAAAUUCAUAUUAGCAGUUUUUAUCUGUUUUGCACAAAAUAACUACACUAGCAGUUAUAUUUUGAACAGACACUAUUCCAAAAGUUGUGUUGGUUCAGAGUUUAAUUCAGGGUUAUAAAUUGCCAAUGUCCUUCACAGAUUAAGAUAACUUCUUCUACAAAAUCUUUCAUUCCGUUGUUCUGGAGAAUCCUAGUUUUGCUGGCGAGGAUUCUAUUUCGGUUUUGUUGUAUCCUGGAGCGAAUUUGUUGGAUCACCAAUAGCAACAUAGUGGGGGCAAAAUUCGCUUAAGGACAGUGUUAAUUCACGCUUCAAGACCGGUUUCAAAUAUUAGAAAUCCUCAUGCUUCAACAAAAACACUGUCUGUGGCACUACAAGAGCAAAUGUAGUGCUCCACAUGCUCCGAGCUAUCAAAGAUCUAUCUGAUGGACCAACAUGGGUGAUCUCUGUGCCUGUAAAGUAGCUUGUUCCAUGAUGAACCUAGGUGUCGGGCAGAUCUCUCAAAAAAUUUAGGCAAUUUAGGCCAGCCAGAUAGGGUAAGCAGUAUAAGUUGCCCUAGUAGCUACAUACCGGAUUCUAGGGGCGAUGGCCCACCGUCUGAGCACCUGAGUGAAGGAGCCUGACUGACACCGAGCGUCCGGCGGGAUGUCAACGAGCCUCCAGACCCUCCUAGCUCGCUCACACUAAAACAAAGCGUAGUCCACGGUCUUCUCCACGGCUCCACCUGGCACCCAGGGCACUGAGGUUGCAUGCCCAGUCCCUACCCGCUCAACACCGAUCUCAUUGACAACCAACCCUAGACCAUCUUCUAGAGGAAUAGGGCAACCCUCGGGUGAAGACCAAAGCCGCUUCAAUGGAGAUCGCCACAGAGGUCUUUAACCCCCCUACUGGGGGUACACAUGCAUCGACAUCGUUGCAUCGGCCGACCUCACGAAGCACAAAGUUGGGGACCUUAUUAUCGAACUAGUCCGUGAGGGUCUCCGACUCGGUGCUACACGAGGGCAAUCUCUGGGUGAUGUGGAAGAUGAUCCAGGGGUUUAUGCUCCCGGGCGAUGAGGAGGAGCUGUGGUGGAGGUCACUAGAGAUUAUGCUCAACUCAUCCUGCCGCACUGCCAUUGAGGUAAUCAGAUGGGUUCUUCUGCCUGCUUGUCUUAUUUGUUUUGUUUUUAUUUUCUGAAAAACUAGCCUCCUCUUUGUUUCUGCAAGGGGUGUACGCUACCCACAUACUAAUUGAGGUCAUCCGCUCCCAUCGGCAAAGAUUGGAGGUCUCCAACUGCCUCCUUUGAGAGGCGGAGCAUAGUAGGGCCCACAUUGAGGUGGAGCGGGUGGAGGCCGAGAGGAGAAGAGAGGAGGUUGAGGUGCGGGCUCAUUUCCUCAGCUCCAAGGCUGAGAGUUCCUAGGUAGAGCUAGGGUAGAUGGUCGUUGGGCUGCGGGAGAUGCAGCAGGCCAUUAGCGAGGAAGGGGCAUGUGUGAGAAGGAAGGUCGAUGUGGAGAUUGUUCACUUGAGGAAUGCAGUCACUGUGGCCAAACUUCGGGCCUCCCAAGCUGAGGAGAGGUUCACUUAGGCAGAGGAUAGAGCUACCCAGUCUAAGGAGAGGAGUGACAUCGCAGCCAAAGAGGUCAUCCAAGCGAAGGAGGAGUCUUUUCGUGCUAAGGAGAGAACCCAACAUCAUCAUAGACUACAAGACUUCUAUAGAGUUCCACAGCGAGAUGUUAGAGGCCGCCAAAGACUCCUUCAAGAAGAGGUUCACCUUCUACCAGAGAAGAGUCUACAAGAUGGCUCCUAAGCUCGAUCUUAGCUUGGUCACCUUCUCGGGCGAGUGCUCGAACGAGGAAGCCUUCUUUCGGGGAUUGGGGAGCAAGGCCGAGGAGGAGGAAGAAGAGAAAAAAAAGAGGAAGAGCCGACGAAAGACGAGUAAUUGUGUACGCUAUUAUUUAUCUCUCUCACUUGCUUUUUUUUUCUUUGGUGUUGGCUCAGCUACGAGCCGUUGUUUUGUACUUUUCUUUCUUUUCUUGUAAAAUGAAUGAAAGUUUGCUCGUCUUUUUACUUACUUGGUGGCUCAGCUGAACCGAUGCCCUUUUUAUUUGAGGGGUUGCUCAGUCUAGAGUACCGUUCGGUAACUAUAUGAUUAUGCCCUUUGUUUUUCGAAAUGGUUGUCAAGGCACCCACCUCGACAAUGUAGUGGCACCUGCUAAGCAGUCAUCAUGGGGCAGAAUUUUGUCAUUUUCUCAAAAAGCUACGUGUGCCAUCAUACUGACCUGUGCUCGAAGUCCAAGCACCUUUCUUCAACAAGGCUCGUACCUUGAUGGGGUGAUAACCCCGAAUGCUGCCAGGAUAGUCGUGGGCUCCUAGAGAAUCCUGGAAUUAAAUUUGGCCUAGCUAGGGGCUUGACAUGUGUCCUCUGACUUGAGCUUGGGUGCUUCGGUUCCAACUAUAAAUCACGCCUAUAAAUAGGACAAGAAUCUCCCUUUAUCUCUUUACUGUAGCAAGUACCUUGCCAUUUGACUUUGUCGAGCUUUGGAGAGACUGUAGUGCGACUCGUGGGGGUCUUCCACUAGUGAUCGGCCAUCAGACUAGCGAAGAUGGGGGCGGAGCUGAGAGUAGAAGCAACCCAGGGCAGAAAGUUGUCUUAAGUUCCUCAAAUCAGCAAUGAGAUCAGAAAAUAUGUCCCUGUAUGCCAUAGAGGAUGAGGGCAAGGUUGCUCCUUCCUUAGGAUACGAGUCUUCUAUUGUCACGGGACGUGAAGAGGUUGAGUCCUCACCAAGGAGGUUUGGUUGAGGACUGUUUUAUCACCUUCAAGGAAGCCGCAACAAAAGGCAGUCGUCAGACUCCUUAUGGAUGUUGUAGUCCAUAAACAUUUAGUUGCUAUCGGAUUUCCUAUGCUUUCACAUGGGCUACCCAAUUUUUCUUUCUUAUAUAAGCACGUAACCAAUUGGAUUGUAGUUUCCACUAUAAUUGGAGCAAUGAAUAAAGAUCAUCUUUUUUGCUUUGUCCUCCUUUACUAUUUCUAUUCCUAUUUAUGAUCAGCAUCAUGAUUCCAACAACUUCUUAGGAUUCCCAUGGGGAUUAGCAACCUUCCUCGGGUUGCCUCAACACCACUUGGGCCUAAGUCAUCACGGAACUACUUAUUAUUUAUCUUUUUGCUAGGUCUGCCCCCAAUUAACUCUCGUUAUGCUGUCAUGGCCUCCUUGGCAUUAAUAUACUUGUCCGCCCAAGACAGCAACUCGACGUAGUCUCUUGAAAACUUCUUCUCUAGGGAGAAAAGAAAUCGAGAAGUUUUCAAUCUACUCCUAAUGGCGGACAUCAUGAUUGAAUAAUUCAGAUCGAGUACCUCCAGCAUGGUUGCAUUGAAGCGGCUGACGUAAUCUCGUAGGGGCACGUCCUCCAGUUGCUUGAUGGAAAAGAGGGUGUUGCUUGAUGGAAAAGAGGGUGUCCGAACUCCUCAACCUUUUGCUACGCAUGAAAUGGGUAGCGAACAUCCUGCCGAGUUGCUCGAAUGAGUGGAUCGAACCAGACUGCAGCCUGAUGUAUCACAAUCGAACCAUCUUCUGCAAGAUAGUUGGGAAGGCUUUGUACAGCAUCACGUCGAUGGCACCCUGGAGCAUCAUGAGAGCUUUAAAUCUCGCUAAGUGGUCCAGAGGGUCUAAGGUACUAUCAUAGGUCUCCAGUAAUGGAGGGGGGAGGGAUAGCCUCCCUCAUUAUCUUUGUCGAAAAUGGGGGCUCAGUGGUGAACUCCAUGUCUCGGCCUUGGCUGGCUUGAUGAUGUCCCGGGUCUUCGAGGCGCUGGGCAUCUUCUCAAGCUUGUGGUCGAGGUUGGCUUCCCUCUUGAAAGCCCUAUCAGGUCAGUGAGAGGAAGAAUGGCUAGACAUCAGCUCUUCCCAAGAAGGAGAGUCUCGGCUGAUCAAGAUUAGCUUUCCUGCAUCUAACUCCGCGGCUGAAUGUUGUGGCCACGUGGAGCCUUGUCGGAGCCAUGAUGGCAAGAAGGCUGCUUGGGAAGCUUCUGCCUCCCCACUCUGAGGUGGGGAGCGACAAUUUGAGUGCCCCGAGUCCUCAUGAUGACCAUGCUCAUAGGCCUCUUGCUGUGGCGGCUGCUAGAAGUGGCUAGUUGUUGCAUGUAUUGGAUCAUAGUAGUCGGCACCUGGACUUGAAGAAGUGCUUGAAAUUGUUUAGAGGUCACCACAAGGACUAUCUCCCCCAUCCCGUAUAGCCAUCACCGUCAUUGUUGAAACUGGAACCACCACCCGUAAUCACUCGAAAUCGAACAAAAUCCAAAGCUUUCGACCCAGAUCUAAAUCCAAGACAACCAAUGUCCAAGAAAGCACCACCACAGGUAGAACUAUGUAAGGAUUAGAGGGAAUAGCACAGCAAUCGAACACUCGAAAGGCUUCUUCAACCUAAAAUUGAAGAGAUCGAAGUCUGAUUAGGGAGGCGAGAGAUGGGUUUGGGGGGAAGAGGGAGGAUUUCUAGGAGGAGGGGACAUUUAUGAAGGAUUACCAUUAUUUUCACAAUGCUACCAUUGAGAACAAGACCAUCUUCCUGAAAUCCUUCAAAUCCUCUAAUUCUCUAUCAUCUGUGACAAGACAAAGAAGAUGAGUGUGUUAGCAAGGAAGAAGAAGAAGAGAUUACAGAAGAAAAUAGAUUGGGGAAAGGGAAGAUGAGAAGGGGAUGAAGAGGAAAAAAGUUGGGAGAAAGAAGGGGCGCUCGACAGUCGCUACUCAGUCGAUGAGGCGAGAAAGGAGGUGAAGAACACUUUCCAUAAAGUCGAUGGAGAACUGUAAGGGCUGAAAAGGAUGUAAUUUCUCAGAACUCUCCAGAACAACGCUUUCACAAAACUAUCUAGAAUAGUACUUUUUGGUAUUCAAGACAAUGAAAAAGGAUGCAGGUUAAAUGGGUUACCCAACCUGACCAGUUAUUAAACAGGUUAAAUGGGUUAAACAGAUCAAAUGUCUGAAAUCCGAACUCGACCCACUUGUUAAACAAUUUAAACGGGUCGACUUGUUUAUGACCCAAAUCUAUUUAGUCCGAAUUUAAACCUAUUUAUUGCAAAUCGAAUGUGAAUUGGAUUGAUGGGUUGGGUCAAUUUUUGCCAUCCCUAAUGAUACAUAUCAAUACCUCCUUCCUUAUCCUAGGGCUCUCUCUAACCCUCGCACACUAGCUAUUUCUCGCCUUAAUUUUUUGUUUAUCCAGUCUAAUUUAUGUAUAUUUUAUCCUCAAAAAAAUUAUCUAUAUCUUUUGUUUUUCUUCAUUCCAUAAGUUUGAAUUUGUAGUCUAUCGUUAAAUUACAUUGUAUUUCUUACAUCAUUAUAUUUUUUAUUUUAGUAUAUUAUGUAUUGUUUUAUUGCAUAUGUUCAUAUUUUUUGAGCUUUAAGUUUAUUUUACAUAUUUUACAUUUUUAUUAUUUAUUAUUUUCAAAAUAUCUAUUUUCAUUUAUUUUCUCUGUGUUAUUUGGUUCAUUUUUAUAAGAUUUAUCUUUUUCCUUAUUUUUUUACUCUCAUUUAUGUAUUUACUAUUUAUUUCCAAUUUUAUCAUCUAACUUAUAGAUAUAGCAAUUGGAUAAUUUAAUAUUUUUAUCUAUUUUCUGCUACUUCUAUUUAACUUAUGCUUUUAUUUUUAUUUAUUUAUAAAAUUUAUAAAUUUUUAACCUAUGUCAUUGGUUUGUUUUUUUUCUAUUUUAUUAUCUUGUUUUGUAUUUUCAUCCUUUUAUUUUUGCAUAUAUAUUAUUUUUAUUCCAUGGAUUAUUUUAUGUUUUUAGUUUUAUAGUAUAAUAUUGUACUUUUAUUAACUUACUUAUUUAUGCUUCUUUUAAUUUUUAAUUUAUACUUUUAUUUUAGAUUCUUUACAUUUUGUUUUUAAUUUCCUAAUUAUUUCACUAUCUUUUAAAUGACCUUUUUUUACUCUUCAACUAUAUUUUCUCUUAUUUGAUUUCAUUUAUUUUUAGUAUUAUGCCUUCGUAUUUUUUUCAAUUCAUUUUUUUCUUAUUAUUUGACCUUUAUUUGAAUAAAAAAAGUUAAAAUAUUGUAUUCAAUUUUUAUUUUACUUUGUUUGUGAUCAUUUUUGCCAAACAUUAGAAUUUAUCAAUUUUAGUAUUCAUGAGUAACAUAUCAAGUGCAUAAUAUUUAAUAUAUUUUAUUUUAUUUUAGAUUAGCUUAUUUCCUAAUAUUGUACAUGUUAGGAUUAUUUCUGAAUAUCUAUUGCAUAAUUGUAUUUUAAUAUUUUGUUCUAUAGUUUCUUUUGAAAAUUCGUAUUCUGAGGUUGAUAGAUCAUAUUCCUUUUGAAUAUUAUUAUAUAACUCUAUGUUUUUUAUAGUUUUAUUUUUAAUUUUCCCUUUGCUAUUUUAUUUUUUAUUUUUAGAGUGUUUUAUUUUUUACUUUUGUGAACUAUGUUGCUUAUUUUAUUUUAUUUUACAUUUUAUAUGUUAAGUUUUUUACUUUAUUCUAGUUUAUUUGUUAUGUUUUCCAUUUUUAUUUCAUAUUUUUUAUUUAUCUUUUUUUACUAUUUAUAUAUUUUUAGCUAAAAAUAUAAUAAAUUCUGAAAAUCCUUGUCCAGUAUUCUCCUAGCUUUAAAAUCUCCUGGUCCUAUCCUCCCAAGUCCCAACUAGAGGGAGAAGAGAGAGACGAGAGUGGAGUAGAAAGGAAGCCAUUCCCCUUCCCACUCACUCCUUCUCUCUCUCUCCCUCCCUCUUCCUUUUCAACAACCCGCACCCCCAAACUUCUUCGUCUCUUCCCCAUCCAUCUAAGAGAGGAGGGAAGAAGCAUAUGCUUUAGAAGCUCCUUAAUCCUCUCAUCGUCAGAUCUCUUCCCUCUAUAAAGCUCCAGAUUGAUUCCUUCUCAGUUCCAGCCGCCAUGCCCGACUCCUCCUUUCUCAAGCUCUCCCUCUUCGUCUCCGGCGACCCCGCCGACCCUCCGGCUGCCCGCUCCCCCCGGAGCUUCGCCGACGGGGCCGUCGGCCUCGGCAUCGUCGCCGCCCUCAGCGGCGGUGGCGACGUUGGAGGCCGCGGGAGGUCCGCGGCGCUGAGACGGUCGGAACCGAUCCCGAUCGCCCCGACGAGGGCCUUUGCGGCUGCCCGAUCGCCGGAGCCGGACGAGACGGAGCUCUCCGAGAGCUAUACGUGUGUGAUCUCGCACGUCAGAGGCAACUCCGUCAGGAAGNNNNNNNNNNNNNNNNNNNNNNNNNNNNNNNNNNNNNNNNNNNNNNNNNNNNNNNNNNNNNNNNNNNNNNNNNNNNNNNNNNNNNNNNNNNNNNNNNNNNNNNNNNNNNNNNNNNNNNNNNNNNNNNNNNNNNNNNNNNNNNNNNNNNNNNNNNNNNNNNNNNNNNNNNNNNNNNNNNNNNNNNNNNNNNNNNNNNNNNNNNNNNNNNNNNNNNNNNNNNNNNNNNNNNNNNNNNNNNNNNNGGGGGGGGGGCGGUUCAUCGUACUGGAGGGGAUUUGUUGGAUCAAAAAUUUUUUGGUGGUACAAUUCUUGGAUCAUUUUUUUUGUGUGCGCGUAUUCUUGCAAGGAGUCCUGCAGGAAACAUCUGAUUGUCUAUUAGUUAUUAGGAGAAAGUAAAUUUUGAGCCCUCAAUCUUCAGUCAUCUACACAAAUAUUUCUUCUCCUUCUAUUAGUUUCAAUUGAUCCUUAAACUUUCAAUUUAAGUGGGUGCCAUCCUUUCUCUCGUCUGACGCCAUUAAUGGCGCUUAGGAAAUGAUUUAACUGCCCUUGUCUUUCGUUCUCUACGAAAUUUCUGUUACUCUCUUCGCCCUUGUACUGCCACUACCUCCGCUUAGAUGCUCCUCCGCCUUGCUUGGUGUCGACUGGCAGCAACUCCUCUUAAUCACCGCCCACCCCUGAACCCCACCCCCCACACACACACCCACACCCACAUAAGAUGGGAGAGAAGAAAUAAAGAACAUUGGAAGAGAGAAGAAGAAGAAGAGAAGGGAGAAAGAAGGGACGGUGAUGAUAAAAUCAGCUCUUACCCUUAUGCUCUGCGGCACCGGUGGUGGCAUCGCCUACAACCAUGACGAGCUAGGUGCCAUUUUCUGCAUGGAACUUGCUGCCAGCCUAACCUUGUGUCCACACAGGGGAUUUGUAUAUAUCACGAGGAUAAUAUAUAUAUUAGAUUUUUAUAUAUAGAAAAUCUUGGCCAUGGUUGAUAAAGCAGUGAGAUAGUCUAACAUAUGAGGUGAGAAAUGAACAAAAAUCAUAUGGGACAGGCAUCAUAGAAGAAAAUAUAAGGUGGUACUUUCUAUUUUGCUAUAUUUUUCUUAGUGCCCAUCUCAAAGAAGAAAUCUAAAAGUCAGAAACUCCUCUUACGAACGGGAUCAUCAUUCCUGUGAUUUAAAAAAAAAAGAAAGAAAGGAAGUUGUAUGUGGCAUCUUCUUUCUUCUUCAUUUCUAAAAUAUGCUUUUUAUCAUUACAUGCUACAUGGCCAGGUAAUACAUACCAAACAAAUUAGUCAUCUAGCUAGCCAAUAUACAUAUUUGGUAAAUCGAUACACAGUUUCUACAACAUAAUAUUCGCGAGUACAUAGUAUACAGUCAAGGAAUAAAUACUUAACAAAUAUGUAUAUGCAACCCAGUAUACACUGCCAAGCAAAUUAAUUUAUAGUUUAUAGAGCAUCAUGUUCACUAGCAUAUACAUGGCUAGGUGCUACACAAUCAUCGACUUUUUGAUAUAUACUGCAACCUUCUUUGUUAUGCACCUAGCAGUAAUUAAAUUCAUACCUUUAGAUAAAUCGAUAUAUAGUUUUCAAAAUAUAUUUUUUAUCAAUACAUACUACUUGGCUAAGUGAUAUACACCAAAGAAAUUAGUCAUAUAGUAAGCUAGUACACAACUCUAAGUAAAUUGAUACAUAAUUUUUAAAACAUGGUGUCACCAGUACUUGUACAUAGAAAACUUUUCUAACUUUGUUUAACAUAAGAAAUUAUAUUCAUUCUAUUCCUUAAAUUCUGUAAACUUUUAGGUGCAAAGAUCUUGGAAAAGAGAGGGAUUUAGAGAAGGAGAAAGGGACUCGUAAGAAGAAGGAAGAUCUCAUGGAUGAGAGAGACGGCUUGAUGAGAAAGAGAAUAGAUGAAGAGAUUUGACGAGGAAGAAAGAGGAUGCGGAUGGUCUCUCUUCAUGGACGUUCUCUUUUUUUUUAUGUUUUUUUUUAGUUAUGUGACUGAUAGACUCUGUUAGUAGGAGGAGUCCUAUCCCCAUUUGACUUUUGGAUUUUUUUCUUUAAGAUGGGUGCUAGAGGAAAUUUGGCAAAAUAGGAGUUCCGCCCCAUUUGAUAUUCUGUAGUACCCGCUUCAUAUGAUUUUUGUUCAUGAGAAAUGUCUUUGUUAUUGUUCUUUUUCCCUCUAGAGAAGCUUUCCCUUUUAAAAGUCAUUUUUCCUUUUUCCCAACUUUUUGUUUCAUAUACAUAACUCAGGCAAUUGCCCUUAGAAAAAUUGCCUGAAGCACCUUACACCCUUAUUAAAUUUGAUUCCUCUCCACUCGCUAAAUGAUUUGUCCAUGUGUUUUGCGUAUUCCAAUUAAUCAAUUAAACAUACAAUGGAUAAAAGGGGGCUCCAUGGCAAAAUUGUUUGGUACCUGAAAUCAUGUACUAGUCAGGAGGCCUCUAAUGGAUAUACAAAUCUCUUGUUUAGGUUUUUACUAUUUUCUCAGAUGGAAGAAAAACAGUCCAUAUCAUUUGUUUAAUCCAUGAGAUUUACUACAUCCAUAAACUGUGUUGCUCUCUUUAAGCAUAAACUUAAAGCAGGUCAACAAUCAACGGAAGCAUAACAUAUGAUAUCUAUUAAGAAAGCACAUCUUAUGAUAUUCCCAAAAAUAUCUGUGAUCCAGUCUUCUUUAGACAGUUUUCGGUCAUAGCAUUAAAUAUGAAUAUAUUGAAGCUUUAGCUUCACAGUUUGUACCUCAGUCUCUUUGAAUCGUGCAUGCACAUUCUUCUCUGAUAACUAUAAUCCUCUGAAUCAUCUUCUCUUUCUUUCUUUCUUUCUUUCUUUUUAAAUCCUCCAAAAUGUCAGGAUGGGAUUUUGAUAUUAUUCUAUCCCGUUGUUUUUUUAAUGGCCCUUAACAGUGUCUGUCUGCCAAAUUUAACAAGUGUAGUGUAAUUUAUGUUCUGAGAUAUUGGGUUUGUUUGAGAUUGUAAAUAUAAAAUGUGAAAAUCCUUAUAGAAACUUCCUCCUAUGAAGUUUUGGCCAUCCAUGUCUUUAGACUGGUAUGCAGAUGUUCCUCUGGAAACUGGUGUCAGUUGAAUUUCUAUCUCUCAUCAUACUUGUUGAUCCAAGCUUCCUUUAUGGAAAGUUGAUUGGAUAAACAAUUCAUCAACAAAUGGCUGAAAUCAAUUCUUAUGUCUUUGAAUUUCUCAUAUAUGUUUUGAUUCCAACAGCAUUUGAACAGAAUACUUAGAUGGCUGUAGGGAUAGCUGAAAAUGUUUGAUCAUUCAUUGCCCUUGGAUUACUAAAUUGUAUUGCACUGUCUUCGCUGAAAUUCCUUAUGUUUAGAAUGAUGUCAUUCUAACUUUCCAAGAUCCGAUAUUUAGUUAUAUACAGAGUUAAGGAGACCUGUUUCAUGCUGAAGUUUCUCCAAUUCUGUUUCCUUUGUCAUGCUUCAGUGCCCAUCCCUGAAUAACUUGCUACACAACAUUGUUAAUAGUUGAAUUGUUUCUCAUUUAUCUUUCCUCCACCCUAUUCUGAUUCUGUUUCCUGUUUCAUGCUUCAGUACCAGUCUUUGAAUAACUUGCUAUGCAAAAUGUUGAGAGUUGAAUUGUUUCUCACUUAUGUUUCUUAUGCCCUAUCCCCAAAUUUGUUUCCUUUGCUGGUAACUUUGUCUACGACCCUUAUGCUGUGUUCCAAAUCCGUUGCUUGUAUAUGUGUUACUCCUUAUAUUGACUUACAGCUUCAACAUUUGCUGAAUUUUGGUUAGCAUGUGCACAGUGACAAGAAGGAGGUAUGUGCUAGGUAUAUCUGUGUGACAAGUAGCAGUUUAGAAGUGAAAAUUGGAUGCCUGUAUUGUAGAUUACACAUUAAAUCUAUAAUUUUGCCAGCAGACAUAAAGGUACAUUCCAGUUGAAGGGCAUCUAGAAAGUUGUUCAUCACUUUAGUAAUUCAAGUACUCUAUGUAUCAUUUGGCCCAUAACUUGUGCCUGAAAUAACUUGCUUGUGUGAAAUUAAUUCUGUGCCUGCAUUAGAAUUCAUGGUUUUGUUGGGAAGAGACCUUUAAGGUUGCUAUCAUCAGGGCUGAUUAGUCUGCAAGACAACAUAGUUUCUUCUUGCUUGCCUUAAGAUUUUGUGCUACUUUGUUGUUCUAUCAGAAUUCUUUAUUCGGUGCAUUGGAGUCUACUAAUUGAAAUCUCUGUGGCUUUGUUUGUUAUGCAGAGGAGACAAAGCCUUCUGUAGUGCGGAGUGCAGGUGCCAGCAGAUGCUGUUUGAUGAGCACAAGAACUGUGGCUCUGAAGUACUGAAGUCGUAUGAAUGCUCUGUGUCUCCCUGUUCUGGCCCUUUGCUCUUUGCAACUGGUGUGGCCGCAGCUUAAUCAUACAAAACUAAAGACCCAUAAGGAACAGGUAGAAAUGAUAGGAAAUAUGAGAAAGGUUACCAGAGUGAAUAAGCCAUAUAUGUAUAGCUACAGAGAGAACUGGAAAAGAUCUGAGAUAAUAUGCUUGUUCGAUCACAUCUUUUUAGGCAAAGCCCUGACGAGAAGGAAUGAAACAAAUAUGUGAUGUAUAAAUUCCAUGUAGCAGAGAAAACAUCAGAGGCUUUGGAGCUUCUGUGUACUGCAUCCGUUGGCAAAUUAUUAUAGUUAUCAAUAUCAUAUGUUAUAUACUCAAGCAAUAUGCUGCAUGAUUUUAUUAUUGUAUAUAUAUUGCAUUCAGAAGAGUGGACUCUCUGUGGCAUAUCAUACUCUGCUCUCUUUUCUGGAGAAUCAUUGAUCUGAAUUGCCUGCAAAAUCCUAUCUCACAGCUCAGGAAGCUCAUACUCUAUGAUGUUUGAUCCAUCCAAGCAAAGUUUGAGAGGCGGGCUCAGGUGGUUGCAAGGAGAAUUAUUGUUCUUGAAAAUCUAGUUUUUUAUUUGUUUGUUUCAUUAGAAAAUUAAUGGAAGUUUAUAAUUAAUUUAUAUAAAAAACCUUUCUGCUUACAAGAAAAGUUCCAUUUUCAUUUGUCCUUUUUCAUGAUUUUUCUUGCAAUUAAGCAUACGCUUGCCUCUGUCUGCUAACUUUGGAUUUUCUAUAAUGCUCCUCCAGUGAAGUCCUACCAAUUCCAGUUGCUGGAUGCUGGUGUCUGGGAUCUCACAGGAAUCUACCAGUCGAUGAUGGUGCAAUGUCUGCCAUGGUUGCAUUUGGAUCAAAUCCAACAGACCUCAUUAAUCACAUCUUUGCCUUGGACUUGCAAGUGAAUGUGAUUCAAAAAUCGAAGACACAGUUGCAUCUAAUUCCUCCAUCAAAGCCAUCCCAGAAAACACUGGUUUGUACCCUUAACCUAAACCAUUAUCAAAAAUAAUUAUAUCCUGUGCCCUACCAGCUAGCCUGAGUUUCUGAGCCCUAAUUUCCUCCAGCUGAUCGGGAUGCUAUACGAGCCUUUCUAAUUGGUUUGUCGAUGUUCAGCCUCUUCAGCAUUCUUCUUUUUUCUUCAGGCCCAACUGACAUAUGACUGGCCAAAAUUUCUUUAGAUGUGAAUUAUGUAGUUGAAUUUAACUAAUAUAGACGUAAAAGAGUAGUAGUUAGGAGGGUUUUAUCAUUUUAACUGAAACUCAAUGCGUCUUGGCCUCUUGGAUUCUGGAUGUGUUUCUCCAAAUAAACACCAUCAUUCCAAAUGCUGCAGCUGCCUCACUCUUUGCUUGCUAUCCUUCCAAAUAAACACCAUCAUUCCAAACUAACACGAUAAAUUGCACCAUCAUUACUAAUAGUCUAUAUCCACCAUCCGAUCUACCUGUUCAUAAGAAGGACAUGUUCAUCCUUCUUCUUCUUUUUUUGAUGAAAAAAAAAGAAAGAAUGGGGUGAAGAGAAUCUCACCUGCGUAGCAACUCCACACUGGUCCCUUUUCCGCUAGAGCAUAUUCUAUUCAGGUCACAAAUUUCCACGUGCCCUCCCCAACCGUGGUUACCCAUGUAUGAGUACGUCACCCCAAUAUCACUCUGGUUGCCAGCGGCAGUAUCACGCACACCAGCAGCAUUUAAGCAUAGGGCAUCCGGUCUCCAAAUUUAAUCGACGUCUGCACGUUUCGAACCUGAAUCAUCCUGGUGGAAGUAAAGCCUCGUCCCCACUGGGCUACCAUCUUGGUAGUACAUGUUCAUCCUUCUCUACUCGCCCAUCCUGCCCCUUUCCCAAACCCUAAUUCAUUCGGACUCGAUCCCAUCGAAUUUGGUCCCUUAAAAAAAGAUUCCAAAGAGUCUUUCGUCCACUCCUCUCCAUGGCGUCCUCCGGCGGCGGUGCAGUGGUCCGUCGGAGCAGCAGGUGAAGGGGGCGGCAUGGCGUCGGCGCAGAAGCGGAAGAAGUGGACAGAAGAGGAUUUAGAGGAGGAGCGGUCGCUGAUCGACAAGUAUGCGGAGAUGGCGUCCAACGGCAGCCUCGCCCACAUGCGAACACGGGAGAAGAAGUUCCGGCCAAUCGCCGCCCAUGUCAACGCCGGCCACCACGCCGUCGACCCCGUCGCCUACCCCUUCCUCCGGUCCUGGAAGAACGCCUCCACCAAGGUCCAAAAUAGGCGACAUCUAUCUGUGCUUCCUAGUCAAGCAAAAGCUCAUCUCCGCCCUCCCUUCCCCAUCCGACGGCUCUCAAGGUCCCUCCUCCGCCAUCGACUAGGCCGACGGCGUCUCCUACCGGCCCAACUUCCUCCGCUACAAGCAAGUCUUCGGCGACGCCCCGCUCCCCACAAAAACCCCCAAACCUACCCCCCUGCCGCCGCCGCCGUCCCGUCCUUUCCGGCGGCCAUCGAUGACGGCGAUCUGGAGCUGGGGUUUGGGUUCGACUGCUGCGGCGGGGAGGAUGGGUUGAGGUCGAAGGUGACGGCCUGAUCUGGUUUUGGAGGUGGAGCGCGACGAUGGGGGUGCGAUGGCUGAGCCCGACGAUCGCGGAAACUGAAAAAAAAAAAGAAGAAAAGAAAUCUGAGGAUUUUUUUAAAAUUAUUACGCCAAAAUUUUAACUAUCUGAAGGUUUUUAGUUUUAUUGCUGAACUCUUAAAUUCCUUCAAUCCAAACUCUGAUAAUAAAUUCCACCUGCUGCUACGAUGAAAUUGCCGCACGCUGUCUUCUGCCAUAUAAGUUAGUCAUAUAUAUUAUGCGACAAUUCCAUUACAGCAAUCAGAUGAAAUUUAUAGUCAAAAUACAAAUUGAACGACGUUAGUAGUUUGAAAAUUUACUAAAUUAAAAUUAAAAAAAAAUCAAAAAUUUAAAUUUUUUAUCUAAUUAUUUUUUUAUUAUUUUAUUUGUCGGCUAGAGACGGAAAUAGGAUUUUUAUUCAUAGGAUCCAUGGAUCCUAUAGGAUUCGGGCCGUUCCUAAUCCUUCCCUAACAGACCCUAAUUGUGCGUGCGUGCAUGGCUAGCUGGCUCUCUAGCUAGCUAUAUUGUUUUGAUUGUUUGGAUUUUCUAAUUAACCAAAUAUUUGUUGCAAUGGUUAAUAUAUGAAACAUAGUGGCUAAUUUCUUCGGAUCCUUUUAUCAAUUCCUAAAAAAAUUGGAACUUGUUGUGUCCCACUGCUAAAUAUUUGUAGAUGGCGUUGCUCCAAUGAAGAUUAGCAUAUUUGUUUCGUUGAUUAAGAUUCUGAGAACUGUCAAUCUAGUGAAACAUGGAUCGAGCAGUCCGCUAUGCUUGCCAAAAAUAUCAAUUUUUUUACGGCCGAAGCGUGUCCUCCCUUAGACGUUGCCGUCCAUUAGCCGUUAUUAAAUUGAAUGGCUCUUCAAUGUUGAACCUUCGCGCAAAAGCGUCCAAGUUCGUUGACUCCCACAUUCCAGUCUGCUAAAACGGCCUGGAAGCAGCAAUUGGCGUGAAACAGAAGGCGCCAGAAAGAUUGACCCUCCCAGAAGGGCGUCCAGGUUCUUCCAUCGGAGAAAGAUGGGCGUCUAGGUUCAUUGUACCUCGAGUUCGAGAUAAUGAAGCGGGCCCCGCGAUUCACACCAUAGACCUGAGUUCAUGUCAUGCGAGCAUCCGUACGGGGCAUCCCGAGGCUGUCCCCGCUUCUCCCAUCAGCCUCUGAAACCCAAACAAAAUCCCCGAGGAAGAGAGAGAAGACGUCGAAAGAGGUCCUGGGGUUCUGAUCUCGAAUUGGAUGUUAGGGUUUUGAUUCGAAGAGGACGAUCCGACGCCGUUUCUGCUUCGUCAUUGGAUCUUUCUUCCUCUUCUCUGAGAUCGAGGAGAGAUUUGAGUACCUUUCUCUCAUUUUUCUGGUAUGUUUUUCCGAUUACAGCAAUGAAGCCUUUUUGUCUAUUGUUUAUAGGAAAAUCACUGCGUGCGAGAUUCCAAGAAGCAGAUUACAAAAAUUUACGAAGCUUUUAAAUUCUACUGUUUUUAGAAUAUUUUCCCCAUUAGAUCUAGAUGUUUAAUUUGUAAGUUUUCCGUUCUGCCAAAAUUUUUUCCUCCUACAUGCCAUGAGAUAGUUGAGCAGAUCGCUCGGCUGUAGAGGAGAUAGUAAUUAGCCUUAAAGAUGCCACCUUUGUAUAUAUAUGGUUUACUCUAGAGAAGUUUCUUUUCCUUCCCUAAUGUAUUUGAAUAUAUAAUGUAGGCUGUGACCAUGGUGCUGUGGGUAUUUGGGUAUGGAUCAUUGAUAUGGAAUCCUGGAUUUGACUUUGAUGAGAAAAUAGUUGGCUUCAUCAAGGACUACAGGCGUGUGUUCGAUCUUGGUAAGAUUUACUUGUUCGUCAAAAGGAUGGCCUAGUGACAUCUCUCAAAAUCUUAAAGCAACACAUAAAUUAAAAUCCUGCAUGAAGAAAAAAAAAAUAAUGUUAGCCUUUUUCUUUGCAGCAUGCAUAGAUCACAGAGGUACACCAGAGAAUCCAGCUAGAACUUGCACAUUGGAGGCCAAAAAAGGAGCAGUUUGUGUAAGCAGAACUUAUUCUUUGCCAGAUUGUCUAUCUGAUUACUUGGCUAGAAUCUGUUUUGUAAACCUCAGGUUCUUAAUCAUGGAUUUUUUGGACCGUGCCUUUUUUUUUUUGGUUUCCAAGUUCUGUGACUUUUGACAGGCAACUGGCUUUUUCUUAGUUUAAGAGGAGGGUACAGUACCCACCUCUGAUUUUAUAUAUGUUUUCUUAGUUUCCAUUCCCUGGUUUGUUACUUUGUUAUAUGAGGGCAUUGAUGAAGGGAAAAACCAAAAUUGUUACUUGAUUCCAUUUAUAAAAGAUCUGUUAGGUCUCCCUGUUUCUAUCUUGAUUUUAUUGUCAUGAGGGAUAUUUGCUAGAUUCUCCAGAUACAUUUAUAAUUAAAUGCUUGCAGAAAGUGCAUAUAUUUCUAUCUAUGUCUCCUGUUUUUAUCAUCAAAUGUCUCCAAUUUUUAUAUGACUAGAUAGGUUAGACACGAUGGCUCUGGGUGUUUUUUUUUAUUUAUUUCACUUUCCCUUAAAUACCCUUAUUGACCACCUGAAAAUUAUUCUUAUUUCAACUACUUCUAAUUUUAUUCUUCCAUGUCUGGUUUGAAUAUAUUUUUUUUACUCAUAUUCAUUUGAUUAGAAAGCUUUUAUAGCAUUUAGUAGUAGCUAUUCUUCAUUGAUAUGGGAGGAUGUGAAACUUCAGAGUACCAUCUUAAAAUCUGGCCUUGAAAUUAAAAAAAAAAUCCUGGAUUUAUUUUUAGUUUAUCCAGUUUAUACCAUACAGCAACUAUUUGAAAAUGUUAUUAGAGUGACCAAGUGUGAGAAUUGCUUAGGAAAUUAAGAUGGUCAACUAUCUAUAUGUACAUAUCGAAGGAUGAUAAAUCAAAGUAGAUAAGCAAUUAAUGCAUUCACAAGCACAUGAAAGGAUGAACUUACUUGGAUAUCGAUCCAUACCUUGCGCUUCCAGAUGAGGUAAACCCUCAUCUGAUGUUUGUCCUCGUCAAGCUCUAUACAACUUCAUUUAUAUUAUAUAUUCGUGUUUCACUAGAACAGACUUUGAUGUGCAGUUCGCAGUCAGUCUUUACAAUUUUUCCCUCUCACUCUUGACAUGGCUUGUUUCUCUUACAGUGGGGCACUGCAUAUUGUGUUAGAGGAGACAGAGAAAAGGAAAGGGCAGCAAUGAAGGUACAGUUCAAUGUGCUGUUUUCUUCAGUUGAUUGCUGUUUGAUUAUUUGAUAUGUUAUCGAGCAUUUUUCUUACGCUUCUCAGUAUUUGGAGAGAAGAGAAUGCGAAUAUGACCAGAAAACUUCUGUGGACUUUUACAAGGUAAGAUCAGAGAUUUGCUGUUGUUGAUGUCUCAAAGGCCCCUUGAGAGAACUAAUUUCUUGAUGAACCACUCUCACUCUUCUGUCUGUGGCGUGCAUCAUUCAGGAAGAAGAUCUUCUUAGGCCAGCUGUAACAGGAGUUUUGGUGUAAGAUGCUAAACUUUCCUGCUAAAUAAUAUACAUUGUGUUGACAAGCUACUUUGGACUGUAAUCUUCCGUCGUUGUGAGAUUAACAAGUUGUUACUUCUGCAGAUUCACAUCCACCCCAGAUAAAAAGGCCAGCAAGUACUAUUUGGGUCCAGCUCCCUUGGAGGAAACAGCAAGGUGAAUCAGAAGAUUAUAUUUAUUCGAACUCUUUUUCCCCCUGUUCUUUUGAAUGAUUAGCUUCAGUGGUUGUACUUUUUCUUAUCAAGCUCCUUUACUGUGUACUUCAGACAAAUUGCUACUGCCCAUGGUCCUUGCGGGAACAAUAGGGACUAUCUGUUUCUUCUGGAGAAGGCAUUGUUCAAUAUAGGUGAGGCUAUCUCUUAUUUUUUCAACUGAAAUUGAUCUAUGAUAAGAGUGGUAACGAGAGGCACUAAAGAAAAGAUAUUCUAUAUAUAUUUCAUGUGGGAUGAACAACCGUAUAUAUACAAAAAAGAAAACGAACCCCAAACAAUAUGCAUCAAGAAUAGAAAAUAUAUAUUGUAUAUAAUCAAAUGUCACAUAAUAUAGUAGAAUUAAAUCCUACACAAUAUGCAUCAAUAAUGAAAAAUACAUAUUGUACCGAACCAAACUCCACAUAAUAUGACAAGAAUCAAAUUCCACGCAAUAUACAUCAAGAAAGGAAAAUAAUUGGGUGCAAGGCGUGAUAUUCGUAAAAAUAUAAGAUCCCCAUUGAUCAUUUUUUGUAUCGACAUUGUCGAUUGUGUGGGUUGAGGUUAUCCCUCUGGUUAGCUUUUUGCUAAUUGCAGGCAAUCUACAGUGCUCUUUUCCUGGGUUUCUAAAUCCUCUUUCAUAAGAUGAUUUAGAGUUUGUUAUUUGAAUUCCUGAAGUAUUCAUAAGAAGAAAUGGAAGAAUAAUAAAUGAUGUUUGGAUGAGUUAAGAAAGGCAAUGGAUAAUUUUUAGAGCUAAUGCAGGUCAUCAAGAUGAUUGCGUGAUUGAGCUCGCGAACGAGGUGAGAAAGAUAAUUGGCAGUUUGAAAGGGACGGGGGUUGUAUCUUACGUGCGAAAGGACACACCUUCUUUCAUGCGAAUCCACCAUUGGAUGGGGCAAUGGCCGCUUAGAGAUCUAUGUGGGCGGAUGAAUGGAAAAGUUUGGAGUGCUUUGAGAUCUGUGCAAGAUGUGAUCCAAUGGUCGAUGUGGCGAAAAAAUAUUAAUCAUUCUUUCACGCAGAAGAUACGGCCCGAACCCAUUUGAAGGUGAGGAUAGCUGAGGUCUCUAUCUCCUAGAAGCCCCAUGAAGCUCUUCUGCAUCCUUUAUCCCUUUUCGAAACUACUGUCGCAGUGGAUUCUUGAUAAGAGGCCAGGAGACAAUUUCAGUCGUCGUCCAGCAGAUAUGGCAGCAUCCAUGUGUUUGUCUCGUACAUUUCCAAUUUUUCACUUGAUUGUACACCCUUACUCGGAGCCCCUUGGCAACGCUCUCUAUUUUUAACUUGGACUAUACAUCCUGAAUUCAAGUACUUUGAGAUCGGUGCAAGAUGUAAUCUUAUCGUUGUGUCAAAGCUGAGUCUCUUCUUGCAAUGGAUUCUUUCAUACUAAUUUUUCUCUCCCUCAGUAAAAUAACGUCUUCUCAAUUUCGAUUUUUGGCUUUUGUGCUCUCUCUCGCUUUCUUGUGGCUUUUGAAAUGCAUGCGCAAGGCUACAACACUCUCGUUAUGAGGUGUGCGAGGCAUCUUAGGAAGGGACAAUUUACUCCGCUUGAUGGAAUUGCGGUUCCGGCCAAACUCUCCACCUGAUGCACCGAGGGCAACAAAUAACAUACGUUGUCGAGUGCUUUCUCUAUCUUUCAACUUCUUCUGCAGUUUACAUUGAAGCAGCCGCAACAAAUUCAAGCAACGGGGCAUCCAAAUCAGCAUUUACAUAAGAAAAGACAGCAUCAGCAAUUCAUCAUAAAGGCAAUUGGUUAGAAAAUAUGAUAAGGGAGAAAUUUAUUCACAUUUGGGUAGAUGAAAGAUAAUGCAUACUUCUCGGUGGUUGUACCACAAUGCACGAACCUCUCUCUCUCNNNNNNNNNNNNNNNNNNNNNNNNNNNNNNNNNNNNNNNNNNNNNNNNNNNUCUCUCUCUCUCUCUCUCUCUAUAUAUAUAUAUAUAUAUAUAUAUAUAUAUAUAUAUAUACACACACACACAUUCGAUGAGCCUCCAUUCGACUCUCGGUUAUUGAAUUUUUAUACGUAUCCUAAACAGUUGCCAGUCGACCGUGUGGAAAGAGCACGAAUGGCCUCGGCAUCGUCAGCGGUGGUUGUUCGGACCUUGGGCUAUCGUGCUCCGGCGGAUUGGAUGGCACGAGAUCUUCGGCUACAGGACAGGCUGGGAUACGACCGUCGAGUCCUUUCAGAUGGUGGAGGGUCUCGUGGCCUUCAAAUUUUGGAGCAGCAUUGAUUGGGUAGUUGCGAUGACUGGCGGGCUAUGGCUGGUGGCCGGUCAACUGCUGGCAAUGGAGGAGUGGAGGCCCGAUUUCGUCCCCGGCAUCAACACGGUGAGUAGAACAGUAAUUUGGCUUUGUUUACCCUGUCUUCCCCUAAAAUUCUGGGAGGACUCUUUGCUCAAAAUUGCAACAGCGACGGUCCGGCUACUAGAGUUGGACGAUGUCUCCGACUAGCUCCUGUGAGUAAGGUAUGCAAGGGUGAAAAUUGAGAUCGACGCCCUCAACCCUCUCAAAC